RNAcentral lists this long non-coding RNA (46714 nucleotides) under Capsella rubella. RNAcentral's name for it is "long non-coding RNA (CRUB_LNC004126)". The record is from RNAcentral. Lineage: Eukaryota; Viridiplantae; Streptophyta; Magnoliopsida; Brassicales; Brassicaceae.
UGAUGAGAACAUAACCGAAGUAAACCGGUAUCAAUUAAGAUAAGGAUGAAACGAUGAGAAUAUCAUUUGUGAUCUUAUUGUUGUUAGUGGUUUUAGGUAGAUUAUGUUAAAUCUUCGAUUCAUGUCUAUCUCCUAUAUUCUAGGAUUGCGCUUAACAUGUAUAAAUACUCAUAACAUCUUAUGAUGAAAUAUAUGGAAAAAAUGUUUAAAGUCUAUUGUUCUUAUAAGCUCUUGAUUGGGACCUAUCAAUUGGUAUCAGAGCCUUCAUCUCGCUUUUGAUUCGGACCACUUUGUGGUAUCAAUAGCAACCUUCAUCCACUAUCUAUCUUGGUUUUGAUUCGGACCACACUUGUGGUAUCAAACCAUAUUUUUAUCAUCGUUCUCAGCUUUGAUCCGGACCACAUUUAUGGUAUCAAAAUCUAUAUCUUUCAUAUUAAAAAAAAUAGUAGCCACAGGAAGCUGCCCUUUGAUCUUCUAGUCAGAGAAGACGACACAAGCGAAGAAGAUGGGAAGAAGCUAUUAAGGAAGAUGCAUGAGGUUUCUUAUGAACUUUGAGGACAAAGUUCUUUUGGAGGGUGGAGUAUUGAUGAGAACAUAACCGAAGUAAACCGGUAUCAAUUAAGAUAAGGAUGAAACGAUGAGAAUAUCAUCAUUUGUGAUCUUAUUGUUGUUAGUAGAUUUAGGUAGAUUAUGUUAAAUCUUCGAUUCAUGUCUAUCUCCUAUAUUCUAGGAUUGCCCUUAACAUGUAUAAAUACUCAUAACAUCUUAUGAUGAAAUAUAUGGAAAAAAUGUUUAAAGUCUAUUGUUCUUAUAAGCUCUUGAUUGGGACCUAUCAGUCGUCAUCGUCAACAUCGGGUUCUUCUUCUUCCUCGACGCCUCAACUCUCCAUCCUGGGAAAUAAUUCUCCAAACAACCAAUCAAAUAAUAUCCCAGGCCCAAGCCCAACAAACACUUUAACCUCAAACACCUCAAGCCCAUCAGACACUUCUUCUAAUUCAAGCCCAACUACACCUUCUUCUUCAAGCCCAACUCCUUCUUCACCUUCUUCUUCCUCCACCACAUCCCAAAUUCCAAAUUCAGAACCCUCGUCAUCUCCUCCUCCACCCUUAUCUCCAAAUUCCUCCGUCGUACCUCUCCAACAACUACCACCAAAUACUCAUACCAUGACAACACGAUCGAAAAACCAUAUCGUUAAACCUAAUAAACGAUAUGCUCAUGUGAUGUCAAUUCCUGAACCAACUGUUCCCAAAACUUUGGCUGAGGCGUAGAAGGAUCCGAAUUGGAGAAAAGCGAUGUCUGAGGAACUUACUGCUCAAAUUUGUAAUGGCACUCACGAAUUGGUCCCUCCUACAAUGGCUUCGAAUGAUGUUGGAUGUAAGUGGAUUUUUACUCUCAAAUAUUUACAUGCUGGUUCCCUUGACAGCUAUAAGGUCAGACUUGUCAUCAACAGCAAGGUCGUGAUUAUCACGAUACUUUUAGCCCGGUCAUCAAAUCAACAACUGUUCUGGAUGUUCUUUAGGUUGCGGUGAACAGAGGCUGGCAUAUUAAGCAAAUUGAUGUUAAUAAUGCGUUCCUACAGAGUCGACUUUAUGAGGAAGUCUUUGUUGCUCAACCGCCGGGAUUCCUUGACCCUGAACAUCCUCAUUAUGUCUGUCGCCUCAAGAAAGCUUUGUAUGGCCUCAAGCAAGCACCACGUGUGUGGUACCAGGAGCUCCGGACACACUUACUUCGCCUUGGGUUUGUGAAUUCGGUUGCAGAUACUUCUCUAUUUAUUAAACGCAAGGGACAUGAAAUUGUUUAUAUCCUUGUUUAUGUCGACGACAUGUUGCUUACAGGGAGUAACACCAAGCUCCUCCUUGACAUUGUGAACUCCAUUGCAGCCCAGUUCUCUCUGAAGGAUCUUGGAGCAUUGAAAUACUUUCUUGGCAUUGAAGCGACCCGUACUUCUUCUGGUCUUCACUUACGUCAACAGAAGUAUAUUGUCAAUCUUCUUACGCAGACACGAAUGCUUAAUGCUAAACUGGUGCCUACUCCUAUAUCUCCCACUCUGAAACUGUCUCUCGUCUAGGUAAGAAGCUAGAUGACGCGCGUGAAUACAAAGCUAUUCUUGGUAGUCUGCAGUACCUCUCUUUCACUCGCCCGAACAUUGCGUUUGCGGUCAACCGUCUUUCUCAGUUUAUGCACAGCCCCACAUAUGAGCACUGGACUGCAGUGAAACGCAUUCUUCGCUACUUGGCUGGCACAUUGUCUCAUGGUAUUUUUAUUCGGCUAAACACGCCUAUCUCCGUUCACGCUGUCUCAAGUGCUCUUUAUGGAUACUCUGAUGCAGAUUGGGCUGGUGACACCGAUGACUUUCUGUCUACAACUGCCUAUUUGAUCUAUCUUGGGGGCAGUCCAAUUUCAUGGUCAUCCAAGAACAAAAGGGUGUGGCUCGCACAUCAACUGAGGCCAAGUACCGUGCGGUGGCGAAUACGGCUUCGGAAAUACGUUGGAUAACGUCUCUUCUAAAUGAGCUUGGUCUUGCUUUACCCGCCGCUCUGGUUAUCUAUUGCGAUAAUCUUGGUGCAACACACUUGGCUGUUAAUCCUAUAUUUCUUUCGCGAAUGAAACAUCUUGCACUGGACUACCAUUUCAUUCAGGAUAAUGUUCAGGCUGGUACGUUACGGGUAGCUCAUGUUUCGACUCAGCAUCAGCUUGCUGAUCCCUUGACAAAACCUUUACCCGGUUCAAAGUUCUAUGAAUUCAUGUCCAAGCUUGGACUCACCAAGGUUCCUCCAUCUUGAGGGGGCAUGUAGGUGAUAUGUAUGGAAAGGAUAGAUGAGUCUUUCAUAUUAACCUAUUCUCUCUUGUAUAUUCAGUAUAUAUAUUGUAAUAGCCUCUCAUAUGAAUAAUAUAACACAAUACAUUCUAUCUUAUAUAUUCUUGUGUAAGCUUAUGAUAUAUUUGGUAAUACUGUGUGGUUAACAAGCAUUGCUACUUAACUAACUGUGUGGCUUUGAGUCUCAGUGUGACAGUGGACAUGUUGUGUGCUCGUCGUGUUGUACUAAGAUGAUGAACAUAUGCCCUUCUUGUGAUGAUCCGAUUGGUGAAUUUCGAUGCUCUGUAAUGGAAAAAGUUGUUGAAGCAAUCGUUGUUCAAAGAGAUGAAGAAGAAGGGGAGAAUGGUGGAGGAACAUUGACUAGAAAUGUAGACGAUGAAGUGGUGAAAUCUGAGGCCCGAUCUCGAACGUUGUUUGAUCUGUGUCUUCUUGAUUGUCAUGUUUGCUCUAACGCACUCACGAGUCGUAUCUUUUAGGUAUUAUCUUCUUACUUUUUUCACCACUGCUCUUCAAAAUCUGAUGGAUGAUUCAAAACUUUGAUGUGCUAGAAGCAAAUGUUAAUUUCAUUACAGUCACCAAAAUGAUUUGCAAAUACCGAUAGAAUAUAUUCAUAAUGGAUGAUUCUUUCUUGCUAGAUAACAUAUGAAUUAUACCAGUUUUAGAUUUUUAUCAGCUUGUGUUUGGUUCUAGUUUCAUUGAGUUGUAAUCCAAGUAACUUACUCUGUGUGUAUUUAAAUUUGCUUCUCAGUGUGACAAUGUACAUAUAUCUUGUUCUUCUUGCUACACUAAACUGAGGCACAUAUGCCCUUCCUGCACUUUUCCCAUUGGUAUCAAUCGAUGCAGAUAAUGGAGAAAGUUGUCAAAGCAAUAAUUGUCCCAUGCCCAAACGCCAAACAUGGCUGCACCGAGACAUUCUCUUAUGGGAAAGAGUUAGUCCAUGAGAAGAAAUGCGUUUUCUCCAUGUUCUACUGUCCUGCGCCAAACUGCAACUACAGAGACUUAUAAAAGGAUCUCUACAUUCAUUUCCAUUAUACCCACUACAUGGACAUGGAGGAUAAUUCAAUUAUGGCCGUCCCAAUCAGGCAUGGUUGCGGAUAAGUGAGAAGAUCUUAGUUCUUCAAAAAUUGAAGAUUUCUGAUGAUGGUCCCCUUGUUGUGGUUCAGUGUUUCAAUGAUCCCGGAGGAUGGUAUGUGAAUGUGAACUGUAUUGCACCUUCUGCUCCAGGAGUUGGGGAAUAUUCCUAUGAUCUCAAGUACAGUACGCUUGCGGGAGGCGAAAAAACACAUUAUGAGGUUUUAUUCAUCCAAGAAAGUGAGCUUACUCGAUGGAUUGACAAACAAGUUCGGGACCGAAUAUCUUCAAUCUGGAGAGCCGGAGAUAGGUGGUAUAUAUGACGCGGGUUUUCAGUUGUGGAUCCGGUCUAGAAGCUAAAUUUGUUUCAGUUUUUUUCUAUAACUUUUAUCAGCAUCCUACUCUAUCAAACGAUGCACUAAUUGUACAAACGUUAUUUUUCUUUUGAAUAUAAUUUAACAUUAAAUUCAAAAAAAAAAACAAAGACUUUAGAGUAGCUAGUGAUUAUCAUGUCACAUAUUUUGUUGGUUGUUUUGUUCAAGAAUAUAUUUAUGGCCAGUUGCCUUCUCUUAUCUAUGCACGCUAGAUGUAUAUACUUUUAUGGCUCAUCGUUUUUACUUAAUGAUGUUUUUUUUUUAAUUGUAAUACAAGAUUCAGAUUUCUCUUCAUAAGUUCUUGGUACUUUAAUAACCAAAUCUCUUGAUACAAUAUAAGAAGCGUUACAACUUAUAAGAAGGGUUAAAAACCUUAAAAUCUGAAUCGAUAUAAACAUACCAAUUAACUAUUGUCUCUAUGGUGGAACUUCUCCUUGGCCUCCACGUUGUGAAAGACUUGGGUUUACACUACCCUUGAUCUCGAACAUGUUUUGAUCCCAAACCAAUUCUGCGAUUUAUAGACAAAGUCGCAAAGGAGACAAAAGAAGAUGUUUAAAUAUAGAACUAGACAAAGGAAGAUGUUUUAGUUUUCAUAACAAGAUAUACUUACUUGUACUGAGAGAUUUUCGAUCGUAGAGUGAUCGACCAGAGACUGUGUUUGAUGGUGAUGCAAAGAACAGAAGAAUUAUCAAUGUUAUGAACCGAAUCACCAUAUACAUAUUUGUUCGGUCUUUAGGUGUAAUUAAACUCUCUUUUUUUUUUCUCUUCUUCUCAAGGUCUGUAUAAAAUUUUUGAUCAAGUUUUAUAAAUAUUGUAAGAUGUAAUGUCUGUAUUUAAAUGUAGAGAAAGUGCACUAAUUAGUUUACAUCGUUAAAAGACCAACAGUACUUAAAAAAUGUAUUUUGACAAAUUCAAGAGUCAAAAUAAUAUAAUUUGACAAAUUCAAGCGUCAAAAUAUUAUUUUGUUGGUCCUUUUAUAUCGAUAGCGAAAUACAUAUUUCCUUUUUAUGAUGUUUUCUGUCGUCCUUCCGUAUAAUGUUUUCAAACUUUAUAGUUUGAUUAGACAAAUGACUUAGUCAAAUGAUUAGCGAUUUAUUUUUACAGCCUUCUCUCUAUCACAGUUAUAAUUUGGCAAAUCUUGUUAUCCGAAAAAUUGUUAAAAUCAACCCAAACUAUUUGUUAACAAAAUUUUUAUACCUAAAUUACGAUAUCCGAUAAAUAAAACCAAAUUCACUAAAAAUUCAAAUUCUCAAGCUAAACUAUAUGAAUGUAGCUAAAAUCAACAAAUGUCGAAACGGUAUUAGUUAACUGCUUAACAGUAAUAAGGGGGCAUCAGAGUUGAGUAAAAUGACGUUGUUUUGUCAGUUUAGACUUCUCGAAUGGAAGAUUCAAUGGAUGUUUGCUUUAACGAAUUUGAUUCUGCAAUGGUCAAGUUUUGUUGAUCCAAAACAUAUUAACAUGAACAAAAGAAAACUCAAACAAUAAAUAAAUCAUAUUUGUAUUUCUCUCAAACAAAUAUGUUAUUUUGAUUAGCAGUAUAUAUUAACUCGUAAGUGUUAAGAUCACACCGUUGAAUGCGUCUUGUUUAAAAAGAAAUUCCCAUGACUCGUUUAAUAAUAUAAAGAGAUUUGUAAUUAGACCUAAAAGUAUACAAGAUAUUUUAAAGGUAAAAAAAAACUGCAGAAUAUGUAUCUACUAAAACGUUCCCUCAAUUUAUAAUUCUAGAAAGUCUUAAUUUAACCUAUUUUGAAAUAUUUAACAUAGCAUAUAAAGAGGAUGAAUGUUAUUAUUAUUGAUAGUGAGUUUACACAUAUAUAUACAGACACUUAAGUAACCUAGAGAUAACUAAUUACAUUAAGACCCACAUAUCUAUACAUCCUUAUACACCCCCGCAAGAUGGAGGGACUCUUGUGACACCAAUCUUGUAACAUGCUGUAAGAAACUGCUGUCUAGAGAGAGGCUUAGUGAGUGCAUCUGCUAACUGGUUCUUCGUCGAGACAUGAGAGACCCGUAACGUACCAUCUUGAAUCUGAUUUCUAGUGAAGUGAUAGUUAAGAGCAAUAUGCUUCAUACGAGAGUGGAAUACCGGGUUUGCACAAAGAUAAGUAACCCCAAUGUUAUCACAAUAUAUAAUUGGUGGAGAGCGGAGAGUGAGACCCAUCUCGUUAAGUAGAGAACAAAGCCAGCGGAGUUCAGAGGCGGUGUUCGCAACAGCCCUAUACUCAGCUUCGGUGGAAGAACGAGUAACACCACGUUGUUUCUUAGAGCUCCAAGAAAUGGGACUAUGACCAAGAUAGAUGACAUAAGCAUUAGUUGAGACAUAGUCAUCAACAUCGCCAGCCCAAUCCGCAUCUGAAAAACCAUGUAGUGCCAGUGGUGAUGAGGCUCGAAGAAAAAUACCGUGUGUUGGAGUGCCCGCAAGAUACCGAAGAACACGUUUUGCAGCUUGCCAAUGAUCUGUGGUAGGUUUAUGCAUGAACUGCGACAAGCGGUUAACUGCAUAAGAAAUAUCCGGUCUAGUGAACGCAAGGUAUUGAAGACUGCCAACUACAGACCUAUAUUGAGAAGGAUCAUCGAGCAAAGAACCACUAUGUAACGACAGUUUAGGAGAAGGAGCCAACGGUGUCGCAACGGGUUUGGCUUCGUGCAUAUUGCUCUUUGUGAGAAGAUCGAGAAUAUACUUGCGUUGCAUCAAGUGAAGACCAGCUUUGGUUCGGGUCGCCUCUAUACCAAGAAAAUAAUGGAGAUCCGUGGGAUCUUUGAUGGAGAAGCGUUCACCAAAGGAAGUAAGCGUUUGUGUAACAAGGGCUGAAUUAUUUCCUGUGACAAGAAUAUCAUCAACGUAGACCAAGACAUAGACAAACGAGGUGCCAUUGCGCUUAAUGAACAAGGAUGUAUCAGCAAGAGAAUUGAUAAAACCCGUUUGGAGUAGAUGUUGCUUAAGUGACAAGUACCAAGCCCGGGGAGCUUGCUUCAAGCCGUAGAUCGGCUUCCGCAAACGACAUACAUGACUAGGCCUAUCGGGAUCAACAAAACCUUGCGGCUGCACCAUGUACACCUCUUCAGUUAAUUCACCUUGUAGGAAAGCAUUAUUAACGUCAAGUUGUUUGAUCGGCCAGGAUUGAGCCACCGCAACAUCAAGAACCAGCCUAAUUGUUGUUGUCUUGAUAACGGGACUAAACGUUUCAGCAUAAUCAACUCCAUGACGUUGAUGGAAGCCUUUAGCCACGAGCCUUGAUUUGUACCGAUUCAGCUGUCCAUUGGGAUGAUAUUUUGUCGUAUACACCCAUUUGGAACCGAUGACAUUUUGAGACGGAUGAGGAGGAACCAAGUCCCAUGUGUGAUUGCCUAGUUGAGCGUCAUAUUCAGCAGACAUAGACUUCCGCCAACGCUCAUCUUUUAAAGCUUGAGAGACUGUUCUAGGCUCCUUGGAACUGUUUGGACCUGCAACAUGAAGAUUAACUUUUUGUUUUGGUUUACGGAUAUUAUUUUUGGCUCUAGUUGUCAUUUUGUGGACAUUUUGAGGUGGUGCUUCAGGGACAGGAUUUUGUGGUUGCUGGGGCUGAGGUAUUUGAUGAUUUUCCGACGAAGAACGUCGAGGAGAGGGAAGAGCAGAGGUUGAAGGAAGAGGGUGAGGCUGAACCGUAGGUCGCGGUUUAUUUUGGACUUGAGCAGUGGGCUCAUUAGACACAAUGUUCUGGGCCUUGGUUUGAGGCCCAUUUUGGGGAGCAGUGGGCUCAGAAAAAUGAGAUGGAGAAGAAGAAGAGGAAGCGUGAGAGUUUAGAGGCGAUACCUGCGUUGACGGGGAGGAUGGCAGUGGAGACGUAGCAUCACGGUGAAGGUCUGAGCUGGGGGUUCCACUCGACGGUUGCACAGACGGUGGUGGCAGAGAGAUCGUAGUGACGAGCCGUGACACAGCUGGUGGUGUAUCAUCACAAGAAACAAUCGAAGCUUUCUUGUUGGUGCUAAACGGGAAGAUCGAUUCAUCAAAUUGAACAUGUCUCGAUGUAUAGACACGACCAGUCGCAACAUGAAGACAAUGAUAGGCACUCUGUGUGAGAGAGUAUCCAAGAAACACACACGGCUGAGAACGACUUUGAAGCUUAUGAGUUGUAUACGGCCUUAACCACGGAAAGCAGAGACAACCAAAAAUCUUGAGCUUGUGGAUGUUUGGUUGAACUUGAAACAGCUUGAAAAAUGGAGAUUGUUGACUAAGGACUGGUGUCGACAAGCGAUUGAUGAGGUAGACCGCUGUUGUGAAAGCAUAAGGCCAAUAGGAGGUUGGAAUCGACGCCGUAGAGAGAAGAGUAAGGCCCGUUUCAACAACAUGUCGAUGUUUCCGUUCAGCUAAACCAUUAUGUUCCGGUGUGUGUGGCGGAGAUGUUAAGUGAGAGAUGCCAUGAGUAGCUAGGAAACAGCGAAGAGCAAUGAACUCACCACCAUUAUCUGAAAAUAAUGUUCCAAUCCUUUGUUGAAAACGGUUCUCUACCAAUGAUUUAAACGCAACAAACACCUCCUUGACAUCAGAUUUUUGCUUUAGCGGAUAAAGCCAAGUAUAACGUGUAAAAUGGUCAACAAGCAGAAGAUAAUAUUUGUAAUUAUCAAUAGAGAGAACCGGAGACAUCCAGACAUCGGAAUAAACAUACUCAAGAGGGCGAGUAGACUGAAUUGUGUUUUGUGUAAAGGGAAGUUUGUGACUUUUAUUAAGAGAACAAUCUGAGCAAGAUAACUGUUUGUGAGAGGAACCAGAAACAGGGAGAGUAAAAGCUGAAAGCAUAGUGUUUAAAAUAGAAGAAGACGGAUGUCCUAAACGAGAGUGCCACACCGGAAGAGAAGCACGUGAACUUGUGAAAGUAGUGAAAGCAGUGACUUGUGUUGGUGAGACUGGCCAUUCAUAGAGUUCUUGCCUAGUUCUGCCUUGAAGAAGUGGAACCCCCGUACUGAGAUCCUUCACCUGAAAGGAAGCAGGGAAGAAUUCAACGGAGACACGAUUAGCAUUACAUAGCCGAUAUACCGAAAUCAAAUUUUUUUUAACAUCGGGAACACAUAGAACUUUAUUUAAAUAAAGAUCACGUGUAGAUGAGGGAAGAAUUUUGGAACCAGUGUGAGUAAUCGGCAUUGGUGAGCCAUUUGCAGCAAUAACAUCAUCACCCCCGUUAUACGGCUCAUGGAGAGAUAAAUUUGCUAAGUCUGAGGUCAUGUGAUGAGUGGCAGCACUAUCGAUGAGCCAAGGAUUUGGAUCGUAUGAGGAGCCGAUAGCAACAUUCGCACGUGGCUGCCAAGGACGGAAAGGACUGCUUGGAGGUUGAUACGUCACUGCACGGGACUGAAACUGCGGACACCAACGUGCACUGUGACCUUGAGUGUUACAAAUCUGACACUUGCCUUUGUAACCUCGAGACCCUUGUGUAGAAACAGCAGCUUGGUUGUACGAGGAGCCACCAUACGAAUUGUGAGACUGCUUCUUAUUGUUGUUGUUGUUGGUAGCGUUAGUGUUGUUGUUGUUAUUGUUGUAGCGACCGUUGUUGCGAUGACCUUGAGUAGCCACAUUUGCUGUGACUGGAAACACAGCAGGAGAAGCUUUAGCAAGAAGUUUGGCCUCUUGAUUGAGAAGACGCUCAUGAACAUGAGUGAGUGUCGGAGUCGUAUCACGAGCUGCAAUUUGGUCAACGACUGGCUUGUAUUCUUCAGGAAGGCCAUCGAGAAUAAGUUCGACUUGAUCAUCAAGGAUCACAGGACUUCCAAGGCUAUGCAAAGUAUCAAAACGUGUUGUAAACUUCUGUAAGUACUCAUCAAUGGUGAGAGUACCUUUAGUGAUCAGUUCCAACUGAUCCUUUAGUUGACGAACAUGGCCUCUGCUCGGUUUGGCGUAAGUUUCAGCUAAGGUAUUCCAGAUCUCAGCAGCACUUGUGGUUCUUGAGAGUGUGGACUGAACAGCAGGAGAAACAGAGCCAAGAAGAGCACUGUAGAGAAGCUUGUCUUGACGACUCCAGUGAAUAAACAGCGGAUUUGGAGAAACACCGUUAUUAGUGGUGACUGUAGCAGCAGGGAUCUCAACCGAUCCAUCAAGGUGACCUACAAGUCCAUGACCAUCAACAAGAGCGUGAACCUGCAAUUUCCACACAAUAUAGUUGGUUGGAGUGAGUUUGGUGAUGUUGGACAUGUUGAUCUGAAGAAGUGUUUGAUUGUUUGUGUUGAAAGGAAUGGACUCGAUGUUGCUGUUGGAACCUUCAAGUGUGGCGGCCAUGGUAGAAGACGGCAAAGAAAUUUUUUUUUUUUUUUUUUUUUGUGUGUUUUGUUUUAGGUUUUAAGGAGCGUACUGCUCUGAUACCAUAAAGAGGAUGAAUGUUAUUAUUAUUGAUAGUGAGUUUACACAUAUAUAUACAGACACUUAAGUAACCUAGAGAUAACUAAUUACAUUAAGACCCACAUAUCUAUACAUCCUUAUAGCAUAUACUAUAAUUUAUUGUAACAAGCUGAUAAGGUGGUGUGCUAGUAGUAGAACCAGCAUGGAUGAAAGGGUAAAACUCCCACGUCCCAAGGGACAUGGGAAUGUCAACACCUCUGUUAACAACGAAUCCAUAUGGUAGCACUUCGACGUGUUACCCUUAAGACGGAUUGGAUUAGUCGAUCAAAAAUUAAUAGUAAUAAUAAUAAUAAUGGUAACAAAUUAAAUAAGCUAAAUUUUUAUUUCCAAUGUUAAUGCCCAGAAAGGGAAAGGAAAAGAACAUGACAUUCUUUUAGAUUAGAGAGAGAGAUUUAAAAUAUGUUCUUGUUGGUGGGUAGUCUCUAAUGUCUAGCUCUAGGUGGACCUCUUUCGCCUCUUGGUGAACUUCUUUGGCCUCCAGGUGGUGAAACACUUGGGUUUACAGAACCCUUGAUCUCGAAAACUAGGACAUUUUGAUCCCAAACCUUUUCUGUUAUGUAUAGUUCAACAAAACAUAUCUUUAAAUACAAAUUUUAACCUAACUAAGAGACAAAAGAAGAUGUUUCUCAUAACUAGCUAGAUACUUACUUGUAUUGAGAGAUUUGUGAUCGUAUUGUAAUCGAGCAGAGACUGUGUUUGAUGAUGCAACGAACAGGAGAAUCAUCAAUGUUAUGAACCGAAUCGCCAUGUACAUUUUUCUUGGAUCUCAAGGUGUAAACUCUUCAAUUAAGUUAUGUAAGAUGUUGAGUCUGUAUUUAAAUGUAGAGGGAGUGCACUAAGGUUAAUCUUAAAUUUCGACGAAGAUAACUAUUGAUUUUUGAUUUGGAAUUUCAGUAAACACGUAUGCGUAAUUUUAUAUAUACUUUUUCGUAGAAAUUUUUACUUGGACUCUUGAAUUGGUCUAACAUUAUGACUUCAAGUAAUAUGGCGGUAAAUGUAGAUAGGUUUAAAAUAAUCAUAUUUAUACUAUAAUGAAUAAUCUUCCAGAAAGUGAUUACUAAUAAUGAUACGGAAAAAAACUUGGAAUAUUAUAUGAAGAACAAUCUAUUUUACUCACUCCCAAAUAUUACUCAUUCUUGUCGUGCUCAUGCCGAUUUUUUACUGUUUAGCUAAUAUUUCUAUAUCUUUAAUUUUUGAAAUUUCUUACAUAAACUUUGUUCUUCUUAAUUGGGCUACCAAUCAAGUAGUGGGGUUUUAACUAGUGUGUGGCUGGAGAAAAGAAUUAUUCUUACUGCUUAAUUAGUUUUAAGCUUUUAAUCAAUCAUUUUCUAUCGUCAAAUGUUUUCUCAAUUUAUAUUUUUUGCAAAGUCUUUAUUUAACCAAUUCUAAAUUAUAUAACAUAAUAUCAAAAUAAUGGUGAAACAAAUAAAAGCUAUAUAUAUAUAUAUUUUGAAAUGUAAAUACCCAAAAAGAGAAAAGACAUUCUUAAUUAAAGGGAAAGAUUUUACAACUUGCAAGAUUCGUAAUAAACCAGCAGUGGUUGCGGUUGUGAUUGCGGAAAUUUACAAAAGCGGAUGGUUGCGGUUUUAUGUGUUAUUAUGCAUUUUGAACGACUUGUGUAGCGUUUAAAAAUAUGUGCGUUUGCAGGAGUUUUAUGAUUGGUUGACCAGCAGAAACUAUAGCGAUUAAAUUAAAAAAAUUACAAAAUAGAUAUAAAUAUAACUAUGAAAAUGUAUAAAUAUACCAAAAUCUAUAUUAUUUAUGAUAAAGUAUAUAAUAAUAAUAACAACUUAGUCGUCAUACCAAUUAACUAUUCUCCUUGCCCCCCACGAUGUAAAGUCUGUAUUUAAAUGUAAUGAAAGAGCAUUAAUUAGUUUACGUCGUUAAUCUUGAAUUUCAACGAAGAAAACUAAUGAUUUUGAUUUUGAAAUGUCUAUGUAUACUUUUUUCGUGGACUCUUGAAUUUGCCAAACUCCCCUUUCUAUGUACACGAACACAACUACAAAAGACCAACAAAACUAACAGGAAUAAUAUAUUUUGACAAAUUCAACAGUCAAAGUAAUAUAUUUUGACAAAUUCAAGUGUCAGUAUAUUAUUUAAUUAGUACUGUUGGUCCUUUUUAUUGAUAGCGAAAUGUAUUUGAAUUAAUUAUGAAUUUCUCAUUUUUUAACAAAAUUUUUUGGUUUUGCCAUUUUUGAUAAAAUUUUAUGAAUACCAAAGGUCUGUUCGUUUGGUCAUCUAGACGCAGUUGCCAGAUGCAGUUAUCAGAUUAUGUUCGUUUUUCUCAAAUUAAGAAACGCGUCCAGAUGCGAUAUCAGGAUGCAAAAUAAAACUCAUCUAAGAAAAACUGGAUAUUUUGGAUCAGUUUGAAAGAUGAGUUUGGACGCACCUAAAUACGUCUCAAAUUAAAAAAGUCUAAAAUACCCUUAUUUAGCUAUAAUUUUAGUUAUUUUUUAUUUACUCAUUUUUUUGUAAAACUCUUAAAACAAUAGUUCUUAAUAAAAAUAAUAAAAACAAAUUUUUACAAAAACCGCAUACUCUUAUUUUCCUGCCAAAACUACAAAAAUCUUGUUUUUCACCAAAAUCGCAAAAUAAUGAUAUCUCGCUAAAAUUAUAUAAUUUUAUUUCCCAUCCAAAAUGGCAAAAUCAUGAUUUCUGAAAGAACCGCAAAAUCAUGAUUUUCCAACAAAAACACAAAAUCGUGAUUUCAUGCCAAAACCGUAAACUAUUUUUUUCCCGCCAAAACUGCAAAAUCAUGGUUUCCCAAAAAACCGUAAAAUCUCGAUUUCCUGUGAAAACCGUAAAAUCUCGAUUUCCUGUGAAAACCGUAAAAUCUCGAUUGCUCGGAAAAACUGUACAAUCUUGUUUUCCCGCCAAAACCGUAAAAUCUCGAUUUUUCACCAAAAUUGCAAAAUCAUGAUUUCCUGCCAAAACUGAACUCCCGCCAAAACCGUAAAAAUCAUGAUUUCUCGCCAAAACUGAACUUCCCGCCAAAGCUGAACUUCCCGCCAAAACCGCAAUAUCAUGGUUUCAUGCCAAAACCAAAUUUCUCACCAAAACUACAAAAUCAUGGUUUCCCGCCAAAAUUGCAAAAUUUGAUUUUCCCCCAAAACCAAAAAAGCAUUCUAAAGUUCACAAUAUGCAUUUUUAUAUUAUAAAAAAUAGUUUUAUUUAUAAAUGUUUAUUUCAAUUUAGUAUGAUAAUAAUAUAGUUAUAAACAUAAUUAAAACUAUUAAAAUAUGUUCAACACAAAAGGGCAUUUUGGUCAUUUGACAUGUAUUAUAUCUAGAUAUACAUACCACAAUAUAAAACGAACAUAACUGCAUCCAAAUACAAUUUCUGGACGUAUGACGCAGAAAAUGAAACGAACAUCACUUGGAUACCGCGUUCAGAUACUGUUGCGUUCAGAUCAUGUAUCUUGAUAACUCAUCCAGUUCACCAAACAAACAUGCCCCGAUUCUCACGUUAGAAAAAUGUGAUUAAAUGUACGUUUUACUCAUUAUGUUUAGGAUUAGUCGGUUAUAAUUGUUUUUAGGAUUUAGUAUUUAAUAUAAAUUACGACUUUUAGCGAAAAAGACAUUUUAAACGUUCAAAAAUGACAAAUCCAUAAAAUUUUAACAAAAAUGACGCAUCCGUAAUAUUUUCCCUACAAAAAACAAAAUCCGUAAAAAUCCCGUAUAGAUUUCCUUUUUAAUACGUAUUAUGUCAUCCUUUUUAUACAUACUAUGCAAGUUGUAUCUAAGGUCAUGGGAUCCUUAAGUUACAUGCUUUUGAAGUUUUGCGUUACAUAAGAAGCACCUGGCAUAUACAAAACGCUAUUUAGAUUUACCUUAUUGGGUCCUAAACUCCUAAACCAGAAAACUCAAAACCGAGACCGAUCCGAUCCCAAAUUCAAACCUGAGAAAAUCAGAAAUAUAAAUACUUUUAAAUAAUUUAAGACCUGAUCAAUACCCUAUUAUUUACUCUAAAUACCCAAAUUUUCAAAAUUUUACCCAAAACUUUCUUAGUAUUCUGGUUAAAUUUUGGGUAUUUGUGUAUCCAAAAAAUAUGGGGUUUUAGCGGUUAUGAAAAUCUAUAACCGAUCCAACUCAAACCCGAAAGGACCCGAACCGAACUCAAACCAAAUUUUUAGAUUUAUUCUAUUGAGUUCUCAAUUUCUCUACCCGAGAACCUCGAAUCCGAACGGUUCUUACUCGAAUCCGACCAGAGUACCCAAAUGCCCAGGGCUAACCCCAAGUGUGGUGUGGGAGCUUAGGUGCAACGCGCUCUGUGAAUCCUCGUGAUUUAUUGGUCGGCUCCACUAAGUAACAUUGACGUAUAAAUUGUCCACACGCCCAUGCCCAUCACUCUCGGCUCUCCUGUACACACACACAACACGAUAGCCAAAACUAUUUUUCUUUUUUUUCUUUUUUUGGAAGUUUCAACUUACUCAAUGAAAUAAUGUUAUUUACAAAGAAGUACUUGUUGUUGAUACAUUAAGUGGUCGAUCGAACAGAAGGAGGAGAGGCUGAGGCUGACCACCAGGCAAUGAGAAGGUUGUGAUUGCCGGUUUAUAAUAUAUCAGCAUAUUUGUAUAAGUUCUCAUUUCAAUGUAGUCGAGCAUUGGAGAUAAACACUAAUAUAUAUAGGGAAAAAUGUCACUAAAACCAUGAAGUCACCCAAAAAACGUUAUUUAAACCAUGAACUUUUCCUAAAGUCAUUUAAAACAUCAAGUUUUCUUGAUUUUCAUUUCAAAACAUUAAAUACUGUUGACGAAGCCAUAAUAGAGAUGUCGUUAAAUCUGAUAACGGAGCAACUAACACAGGUUACUCCGUCGUUAACCAAUCCAUUAUCGAUUAAAUGACAUCGUUUUGUCGAUUGGAAAAAUGCCGUUUAAAUCAUGCUCUUUCGAAUUAACGCCAUUUAAAUCAUGAAGUUUUCUGAAGACUAUUUAAAACAUCAAGUUCUAUUGACUAUCUUUCUUAAAACACCAAAUGUCAUUAACAAAGCAAAAAUAAACAUUUCGUAAAAUCUAAUAAGAAAUUCUAAUAUUUGUAAAAUUUAUAAUUUUAUGAGACUAAUUUAAAAAAUAUAUAAAACGUUCUAAUAUUUGAACAAACAAAACAAUUGUAAACUCCAAAACAAUGGUAACAUGUGUUAAUAUUUUAUACUGAAAAAUGAAUAUAUAUAUAUAUAUAUAUAUAUGCAUAUGAGCGUGACGUUUAGGUGUUUCUACUUUCAAAGGCACUAGACUCACUCAUGCAUUGGAAUUGGAAACAUCACAGUAAUUUCAAAGCACGUGCUGCUUUAAAUUCUGGUAUUACCUCUUCACCUAAAUAAGACAGGUGAAAAAAAGACUGGCGUGAAGGAAUUGAAAUAAAAAGUUUUAAUGUUGAACUUAUAUUAUACCCUUCUUUGUUUCAGCACUUAUUGUGUAGAGACUUAAAGAACGUGGUGCUAUAAUUAAUAAUGGCGAUGCAUCUUCUUCACCUAUAAUGGUAAAAGGAAAAAAGAAAAUUUACGUAGAGAAAUUGCAAUUGCUAAAUAAGAGAACCAUUCCAAGUCGUAAAGAUUGAUCAGUAGCCAAUAUUGUUCAGUCCUAUUUUUAUGUCUCUAGAGACCAUCUUCAAUUGUCUCUUUCUUCGUGGGUACCAUUAAUUUAUCUUUCUUCGAAGCCUGGUGGGAGCAACCUCUUCAUGCAGAGUCAGUACCACUUUGACACUAUCCCAUGCAUGUGACAUUAAUACGGAUUCUCCCUACGAUUAGUGGUUUCUCAGAAUAGCCUUGGGCAUUCGGAUAUCAGCUCGGAUUCGGAUUCGGAUGUUUGGAUACAGAGAUAUGGAAUCCGAUCAGAUAUUUUAUACUAUCGGAUCGGGUUGCUUUUGGGUUCGGUUAAUUGCGGAUAUAUGAAACCCGAUCCUCGCAUCGAAUAUCCGAAGAUUUUGGUAAUUUUUUUUAUCCAAAAUUGAAAAAUAAUAUCCGAAAUAGAUAGAAAUAUCUGAAACUUUUAGUUUUAUCCAGAAUACUCAACAUUCAUAAUUUUAUCAAAAAAUAUUCACACAUAAUUUGAAAUGAAAAUACGGAAGAAUGUUGAAGACCUAAAUAUAUGAAAGAGUAAAACCGAAUAUAAGUGAUUAAGUCAAAAAUUUUAAGAAUAUAAACAAGUAGACAUUCCACCAAAAAAAAAAAAAACAAGUAGACAAAGCUAAUAACAUCUUAAAACAUCAUUCAUUAGUUCCACACUUCGCAAACUUCAAAUUCAGUUAAAGAUUUAGGGAUUUAAGGAUAGAUGGUUUAUAUAUGUUCAUAUAAGUUUGGUUAUCCGUUCAGGUUCUGAUAAUAUCCAAGUUUUAUGAAAACUAAACCCGAUCGGCAGGGUAUUACACACUAUCUAUACCCGAACCAAACUGCCUACUUCGGGUCAGGUUCGGGUUCGGAUUUCGGGUACCGUUAAUAUGCACAGGGCUAUCUCAGACUAUACAAUACAGAUUUUGUUUUUUUUGUUUUUUUUUUAUAAUAAUUGAGAGAAAUGAUUAGGUUAUAAUCAAAUUUUGGGGGUGGACGAGCAUGUGAAGAGUAUUUACUGUCUCAGACCAUUUAUAAAUACUGUAUAUACCACAAUUCACACGUUACUACAUAAAUGUUUUCUACAUAACCGAGACUGUUUUCUACAUAACCGAGACUAUUCAUCUUUCUGCUCCAGAGUCCAGGGACGAGAAAGAGAGAAUCCGUGUGGUACUGAUAAAUAUUUUCCGACAUAUUCACUUACAGUUUUUAUAAUUUUCCUUAGGUUAUCUCCUCUUGUUCUGUUGUUAACCUUUUUUGUUUUUCCUUCUUUUUUUUUUUUGGGAGUUUUUAGGGUUCUUUGUUGCUGGAUUAGGGAAAAUGAUUGGCUGAUUAGGUUGCAUUCUCAUUUUGGAUUCAUGUGUUUGCAGCUCUGCUUAUUUCCUCAUUCGAACCAGUUCCCUCUUGUAUGGUGAAUAUUUGAUAGGCAUUUAAGAGCUAUAUCAUAUCAUGCAACAGCUUUAAGACUCCAUGUUUCUGAAAUUAUAGCCUUUGCAACUUCAUUGUCCUGAUCAGAUUUUUGUCUGAACAAUGAAACUCAUCACUUGGAAUUUGACUAUGCAGAUAUUUUCAGUAUGGAGGCCUGAGCUACUCAACCAAUGAAGUCGGUACAGUUCUUGUUAUCUCAGGUAUGCAGAACAUCCUCGCUCUUGAUGUCUAGUGUUUUAGUGAUAACAAGUUAAGAAACUGCUAGGACCUAGUUGAUAUUUCCUUUGAUGCUUCUUUGUUGAUUAUACAUAUGUACUGCACUUGAAUGAAACAAAAUAGAGAUUGUUCUUCUGAAAAUUUCUUUCAUUUCAGGCAUUGAUGACACAAAGGAGUUAUCCAUUUAUAGCAAAUUUAUCAGGUAUAUAUAUAUCAGUCUAAGCUUGAUGUUAUAUUGUAAAAAUUUCCCCUAGGUUAUUUGCUUUAGUUCUGGAUUGUUUCGACCGUUUGUUCAGUUGUUAAACUAUUGCAUCUUUAUUUCUUUUAGUUCUGGAGAAGCACAACUACCACAACGGAUGUCCGGGUUCGGGUUGCGGGUUCUCGGACGCCAGGACAAUUUCAAGAGAUGCUGCAGAACGCAGUGUCUAUGAGGAAGCUGUUGGUGGCUGUUUUGGCCUAUUCAUCACCGUCGAAGUGGUUGGAGGGAUUAAGGCCAACAGUCUCCCAAUCCUCAGAGAUGUGGCUCAUCUUCUGUCCGAUGUUGCUGCUUUUGCCAUCUCCUUGUUCUCUCUCUGGUCUUCAGGUUUGGAGAAAACCCCAUGCCAGUCCUAUGGCUUCUUCAGGAGCGAGAUCCUUGGUGCCCUUGUUCCCAUCCAGAUGAUUUGGCUUCUUGCUGGAUUUCAUAACAGCAAUGGCGAAGUUCAGGGUUCUCUAAUGUUCCUUGUCUCUGUAGUUGGUCAACUAGUCAAUAUUGCUAUGGCUGAUGUGUUGGGACACGACCACGGUUGUCACCAGUCACGGUCAUUUCCAGGCACUGAUGAUACCAAUACAAGCGACUUAUCCAUUAUAGCAAAUUUAUCAGGCCUCAGUCUAAGCUUGAUGUUAAGUUGUCCAUCAAUCCUCCUAAAUGUGCUAAUUGUAAGUUCACUCGGCACAUUUAGGAGGAUUAAUGCACAAUUUCAACAUCAAGUUUAAACUUAGAUCUGAUAAAUUUGCUAUAAAUGGAUAACUCAUUUGUAUUGGUACCAUCAAUACUUAAAAGAAGAUCCUAGAAGUCUUUGUGCCUAUAGUGUCUGCCAUAACUGGUAAAUGGACAUUCGCUAAUCUUUAACAAACCGUGGUCCAUUUUGUAAAUUGAACUUCAUAUUUGUUGUAUAAAACUCCAAUGUGAAAGCCGUUUGAAUUGGUGAUAUGGAAUGUAAUGUAUGGAUUCAUUGUUUUUGAUUCAUUUCAAUAUUUCAUAAUUGAAAGAAACCUAUAUCAUAUUGUACUCAGCUUAGAAUUUCAGCUUCUGUUUAUGUUAGUGAAAUUUUUAGAAGCUUCGGAGUUGGCUGGACACUUUAUGGGCUUGGGCUUAACAGAUUGAAUCGUCUUUGCCAUAGUAUUUGUAUCUCUUUUGUAACCAUUAUUAGUACUACAAAAAUAUUCAGAAAAGAGCUUUCAUAUGCUAUAGAAAAUAUAAUUGGUUUCUCAUAAAACAUGUUUCAAGUGGACGGACUCUAGAUAACAUAGAUUUAAAGAAGAUGAGGCACAUCAGAUCAAAUGGUAAUGUAUACGUAUAUAAAGGGAAAUCACAUUUUAAAGUAUUACUAGGGCUGGGUUGAUUGCAAAACCUAAGUUUAUCAUAGAGUUUGCUACUUAAAUUUCAUAUUCCUCUAUCAUACCCGUUAUUUUAUAUUUGAAAGUUGAAAAUGAAUUUAAGUUUCCAAAAUUUUUAUAUCGUUUUGUUUCUGAUGAGAAAUAGUUCAGAUUUUUUUUUUGAAUUACCCGUUCCCUUUUUAUCAUUUCUUGUACAGUUUUUAAACUUUAAAUUUGAAAUCAUAAAAUACAGAAGAAGAGCUCUUUCUAUUGUAGUCCAAAAACCGAUUAAACACAAAAUCUAUCACAAAAACAGUAUGAUAGAAGAAUCGAUUCACAUAAUCACAUAAUCAACACCAAAAACAAUUCAAAAAAUCGAGACAUUUAGGCUAAACUUUAAAUUUGAAAUCAUAGAAUACAGAAGAAGAGCUCUUUCUAUUGUAGUCCAAAAACCGACUAAACACAAAAUCUCUCACAGAAACAGCAUGACAGGAGAAUCGAUUCACAUAAUCACAUAACCAACACCAAAAACGAUUCAAAAUUGGGACAUUUAGGCUAAACUUUAAAUUUGAUUCGAAAUCGUCAUUUAGGUUAAACUUAAAAAUCGAUCCCAUAAGCGAAAACGAACAUGGGAAAGUGACGAUGAUUCCGACGAGAAGAAUGGAAGAUAAGAUAAUUCCGACGACAGAACACUCCGACGAGAGGCGAAGCGAAAAACACUCUGACGGCGAAAGAAGAGAGAAGACGAAAGAGAGAGAAAACAAUUAGGUCGUUGGUCUGAGGGUAAAACUGGUAUUAAAAAUUAAAAGUGGGUAGAAAUGAAAAUGGCAAAAAGAGGGUAUUUUUAAAAGAAGGUUUCAUAAUGUAACGCCCGUGUUCCGGUUUGGGCGGUGUCGAUCGACACCACUGAAGGGUGUCGCUCGACACCAGCAUGUUUCGGUUUGUUCGGGUCGAUUUUAAUUGCGAAAUUGUGUGGUUUUGGUUAGGGUUUAACCCUAGGUCACGUUUAAAAGAGUAAAGGUCGUUUUUUGUUGAGAGGUGGCCGCUUUUAUUCUUCUCUAAGGUUUCUAAGUUCUCUAGAGAGGUUUUGUGAGGUUUGAGAGUGUUUUGAGGCUUGUUCUUGGUGUUUCUGUCCUUGGGAAGAGAGAUCUCGUAGUUGUGGUAUUAGGAGAGUCCUUGGUUGUUGUUGUUGUGAUCUAUUCGUCCUUGUUUCAGUCCUUUUGAAAGGUGAGUGCAGGACCUAGGCUUAUCUGAGCUGCUUGUUUCAUGUUUUGGCGAUUUCUAUGAUUGUUGAUUGAUUUUCCUUGUUGUAUGCGUGUUUUUUUGUGUCAUGGUACCUCUGGGCGAGCCUUAUGGAGUGGUCACACGGCCAUGGAGGGCUUGGAAACGGCGGAUUCGUUGAUGAGAAGCGACUGGAGUGAUGUUAGGGUUUCGGUGUCGCUCGACACCAGUGGUGGGUGUCGAUCGACAUCAAUUUUCUUUCUCGCGAGGAUGGUCGCGAGUGUCGAGCGACACCAGAUGAUGGUGUCGAUCGACACUACUCGUCUGAUCGGAUUGUGUUGUUAUUGUUAUGGCCUUUUUAUGAUUGAUAUGUGUUGCUGUAGUGUGGAUUAUGCAGUUUGUGUGUAUAGCCUGUUGUGGGGAUGAUUGUCUCACUAAGUAUUUAUGAAAUACUUAUCCAUCUCAUUUUGUGAUGCAGGUAAAGCGAAAGUGUGAUCCGUGGAAUCAUGGCGAGGAGAGGAGGAUGAUCUAGGCACUCAUUGGUGUUUUAGAUUAUUGUUGGAUUUGUUAGGGUGUUGUAACGCAAAAAUCAUUAUAUUAUCAUAUCAUAAGAGUUAUACAAAAUACAAGUAAUAUAAACCACUUGAAUAAAACCAUUAAACCAAAUAAAAUAUACUAUAAAUUAGAUUUGAUUAAUUAUUAAAUUAUUGUUUAAAAAUAUCUCAAAAAAUUAAAUAUUUUACAUAUGUGAAUUUUCGAAUUUAAUUUUCCACUUUUUUGGCAACAAAUUAAUAUGAUUUCCAUAAAUAUAGAUAGUUUAUGUUUUUUAUCAUUUAUUUAUUAAAAAAAAUUGCCAAACAAAACUAAAGACAGCAAUUUUUUUUUUUGGGCAAUGUUGACAAAAAAAAAUUGAUGUCUUUAGUUUUAUUUGGCAACAUGUAUAAUUUUUAUGAAUUUUUUUUUGAUAACGGGGUCUGUUUGGAAACACUUUGUCCUCCCCAAUUAAUAGUAGAUACGUAGUAUGAAAAACGAUAGUGAGUAGAAGACAAAUCUAUCACAUGAUUCACAUAGAUGUGGAGUUGCCAAACUUGUUACAUGGAUGUGGAGUUGCCAAACUUGUUACAUAGAAAAGGAAAAGUGCAUAGGCCUUUGAUAUAUCAAAUAGGGCUAAGCUCUACUUACCAUAUUUAGACAUCAACCCACAACGAAUCCUUCCUUCUUUGUUUGUGUGUUUGUUUAGGCUCUCUCCAAGAAGCUCCCAAGACGCUCCACAUAUCCCCCAAAAAUUUCUUGAUAGAGCCCACUCAUAUCUCACCUCUUUGGCCAAGGAUUCCACCAUAAAGGCUCCAACAGCUAGUUUUUGAUUAAUAGCGCAUAUCUUGUUACCAUGUUUAGACUUUAGAACGUUGUACUCAACACUGUAUAAGCUGAUCUUAGGCUCAUUUGUAAAACACCCUUGAUUAUUUUUAAGUAAUGGCAAAGUUUCUUCUUGUCAAAGUUCAAGUCUUUGUCAUUUUAUUCGCCUUAAGUGAGUGAGUCUCUUAAACCUAUUGGAAUCUGCAGAUUAAGUUUUUGAGUGAUUCAACAUUCUUUAUUCGUUCAUUGGUUGAGUGAGUCAAUUAUACCAUUGAUUGAGCGAGUCAAUCACUUGAUCUAUCUCAUGUACCACCCCUUGGUUCACAAGAGAUUGCUUCAGAGCCAGCUCAUGAAUUCCACCUUCCGCAAGUUAAGCUUGAAAUCUAUUGAUCUUUGUUUGAUCCUAAGUUGGAGUGAUUGCAAUCUUGCAUCACUAAGGAUUACUUUUCUCACCUAUGUUCUUUUCAUAAAGCAACUCAACAACACUUCUUAUAUUUAGAUGAGUAACCUAAGAUCUGAAAACUAUGUAGCUAAUCAAGUUUCAGCAUUAAGAACAACCAUAAAUGAAGAACAAAACAUAUAAUAUUCCAAAUCUAACAUCAACAAUUUAUUAUAUAUUUUUGAAAAUCCUAAAGCCAAUAUAGAUAGCACUCAGAUAUGAUGGAAGGAACCAUCAAAUAAAGUAUGAUGAAAGAAUAUCUUGUGGCCGUAGUUACAAUACAUAAAAUAUAGCUUAGGUCCUUCAACUAGUAAAGAAAAUUAUUAUCUUUAAGUAAGUCGUCUCCCCUUUACAGUAAAACCUCUAUAAAUUAGUAAUGUUGGACUAAGGUAUUUUAUUAAUUUAUCUAUAAAUUAAUAUUUAUUAUUUGGGAUAUUUCAAUGAAAAAGCACUUUCUCGAAAGUAAUCACACAAUAAGGAUCCCACUACGCGGGUUGUUAUAAAAACAAGGCCAUGAUGGAACUAUAUUUUCUCUAUAGUUACAAAAAUAAGUCGACUUUUAUGUAACAACCCGUCAUGUGGGAUCCCCUGCCACAGGGCACACCCCGCCACAUUGCAGCUACAAGCGCUGCAGCGCAUCUACUCUAACCUCUCUCCUUUGUGCCCAAUCUGACAUGUAGGCACUCUCUUGGCCCACAUCCUCUCCUGGCCCACCAGGCAAGUUAUUGGUGCGCUUGGCGUUACUCGAACCCAAGAUCUCAUAGUGUGGAAGCUGUUACCAAUUGAUCUGCAUGUUGAUUACUUUUGAGAAAGUGCCUUUUCAUUAAAAUAUCCCAAAUAAUAAUUAUUAAUUUCAUUGAAAUAUCUCAAACUAAAUAGUUACAUAUUUCAUUAUUAUUAUUUUUAUUUUCUUUUUCUCUCUUUGUACAUGUCCUACACUUUUCUAUUUGUUGUCUCUUAGAUAUUGGAUAUAUCAUGUCCCUUCCUUUACUAUUUAGUUUAAAUAUAUAGUUUUCAUGAUACACACACAUAAUUUUCAGGUUUUAUUUAGUUAAAUUUUUUUAUAUUCAAACUUUUAAUUUUUUUUAUACAAACGAAUCAAUAAUUAAUUUUUGAAAUCGCCUUUGCUAUUCCAUCCUUGGAUGAGGAGUACUUGUCCAUAGUUUUGCGUACACUCAGUCGAAUAUAUAUAACAAAACAAGCCGUACUACGUCUAGACAAACAUAUCCAUAUGGAUAAUAAUCGUUUAUCCAAGAGACCAUGAUAGCCUUAAGAUUGAUUGGAAACAUUAUUUGGACAGAAUACAUCAUUGGUAUCCAGGAAAACCACAUUCACAUGAUCACAAAGAGGAUCAUCACUACCGAUACAGAUCUGUAACAACGAACAAAAAAAAACAAAAAACUCAAAACUCAAAAGCUCGAACUUCCAUUUCCCUUCUUCGCAACAUCGCUAUCUCCCGCAGAUCACAAUAGUGAAUUUUUCAUUUGUUCCUGAACACAAAAUACAUAACCAUGGGGUUGGAUAUCAUCCAAAAAUUAAUUAUUUAAUCGUUUGUAUAAAAAAAAAUUAAAUCAGUAUUUUAGAAUCAGUCUUUUACAAAAUCUCAUCCCGUUUACAACUUUUACAAAAUCUCACCUCUGUUCCAGACGACAUUAUCCUUUGUGCUCUGCGCUCGAUUCAAAACCUCUGUGAAAACAACCAAGAACUUAGCUCUUUUCACUAACCCAGAUUUUUGCCUUUUGAAGUACAAGAACGAAAGUCUACAAAAGUUGUUUCUCGAACAAAAAGAUUUUAAAAACUCAUAUUUUUGCUUUUGUAAUAUGUUAAGAGAUCCAACAUUAAUGGUUAAAACAAACUAAACUAACUAAAAAUCACUUAUCCAUCCAGUUAACUUUAUUGGGGCACAAUAGUCCUUUUUUGGACAAAAAGCUGAGGCUUUUGUGGGCUGCUUAUAUUGUGUGUUUUUGUGCCUUAUUGUAUAAAUCGCCCUUAUUAUUUUAUAGUAUAAAUUAAUAAUUAUUCAUUUAUAGUGGUACUUUUAAUUAUUAUAACUUUUUGAAAAAUUAUUAUAAUUUAUCUAUAAUAAUUAUAAAUUGAGUAAUUUUACAAAAAUAAGAUUAGUCUUUUCUUAGAUAUUAUAAAAUUUAUAGUUUGGAAUUGAAUUUCAUAUUUUGAAAAGAAAACAAAUUGACAAAUAAAUCACAAAUAUUAUAGAUAAAUUCACUUGUGGUAUACAUAAAUACAAAUUUAUGAUUAAUAACCUCAACUGUUAUAUUUUAACAUCCUAUAAAAUAAAAAAAUGAAUUUGAUGCAUAUUUAAAAAUUGAAAGAUUAAAAAAAUUGGUUAUUUUAUGACAUGUUAUGAAUUAUAUUACAAUAUUAAAGUUUAAAAAUAUAGUAUAAAAUUGCUUUAUAGAGAUGAACACUAGGAAAAAAAUCAUUUUUACAGAAAAAUAAAAGUAUAUAUAUAUGUAUAUAUAAUGAUUAUUAAUUUAUAAUUUUAUUGGGACUAUAUUUUACAUGGAGAUUUCAAAAAAAAAUAUUAUCUUAGUAUCCUAUCAAAUUUUGUUAAUUUUUACACUGGCCCGACUCGGGACCAGCAAAAUUUAUUAAUUUAUAAGGUUUAUUAAUUUAUAGUGUAUUAAUUUAUAGAGGUUUACUGUAUAUCAGUAUCAUAAACCGGGGAUUUACAAUUUACCCCCACUAACUGAUCGCAACGUCUUCGUUGUGCAGCAAGACCGUCACAAUUAUACCCCCGGCUAGUUCUAGUAAUAAGAACGAAUCGGGAGCGUCACUAAGGACCAUCGUAGUUGCUAACCUAGGUUCCCAAAACGAAUUCGUUCAUCAAAGUCAUCCAACCGCAAGGUUCCGACUUUACGGACACGGCCUAAGUUUUGCAACUCGCACUGCAAGCAAGAGGUUGUGUUAAGUCCGAACAAGACUUAAUAUCAGUUGGAAUAACCAUUUAGCUUUCAAAACUUCGAGUUUAGUAAGAAUUUACAAAAGUUGUAAAACCUACAUUGAUUUGCCCAAUGAUCACGUUGCUUCACCAUGGAGAAUAUUCAUCUAAGAUGUUCUGUAAAUAAAGUAGCGUCAUAAGUAAUCAGUACUUCUUAGUAAGCCUGAAACUAAAUAAUUCUACCUAAUUACCCAUCCUAAGCCACCGAUGCGCAAGAUAACCAAUACGGUUGUUACCGGUCAUUGAGUAUAAAGUCCGCGGUAAUAUAAUAUCUUACUUCCUAGCGUGCCAGCUUAGGAGCAUGAACAUAUUGACCAAGUUUCCUUUCGGGCAGAUUGGCGAUGCAAUCUGCAUCGGUAGUGCCUCCAUCGUCUGGCUACCAAGAGCGUUGGCUAGUAAUACCCACAUCCGACAUCAACGUUUUAUCGAAUCAGUUUACCAAAAACAUACUUUCCUCGACCAAUCCUAAUUUCUCUUUGAACAAUUCGAGGUUUUCCUCAACAAACUAACGAUUGUUAUCUAAAACUAUUUUUAGGGUUUUACCUAUAGGUUUAUCAACAAAGUUAACGGUCAUUGCCAAUAAUCUUUCCUCCGAUACCAUUUUGAUGGAAUAUCCUUCUUGAUAUGGCAAUUCAUUCAUGGUCAUUACAUGUACUUCCUUAUUCCAUUACCUUAGCCUGAUAAACGACCAAACCAAAAUUGUACUUUUUUUAGCGGAAUUAAUCAUGGGAUUUUGUUGGCUGGUCACGUCGGUCAUCCAUCUGUCCGAGUACUAGUCACAGUGAUAAUAUUAUAGUUACCCCGUAGAUUGUGAGAUCUAUUGACUCCACCCUCAUAUAGGUUUAUCUUUGGUACCACUUGUAUAACCCUGGCCAUCAUCUCUAUUAUUGGGAUCUAUAUCCUCUCUAGGUAUCUGGGCCUUCUUUAUUUACCUCCCGGAGGUUUUAAAACCUUGUUUAACUGACCCUAGAAUUUACCUCGUGAUCUUUAUCCUUUUUUUUCCUUACUCACACGGUUCCGAUAAUAAUUUCCUGGAAGGUCACCUAUUUUGAAACUACUCCAGCAUAAUAACUCUUAACUAGGUAGUUUGCUCUGUAUGUUUUGCCAAAAAGAUAAGCGAACUUUGGUGACAUUGGCGGUCAAAUCAAUCCUUUUAAACCUCUCUGCAUGCAUCACCAUAUAUGAUGACGCCGGGGUAUUACACUUUUUACUAGGAUUUGCUUGCAUAAUUGUUUCAUGGACUCAUGGUGCUGUUUUUUCUUUUUCAUCUACCUCUAAUGCUGAGAUGCCUAGGUGUUUUGGUUAUGCUGGCAUACCCUAAGUGACUUCAAGUAAGUAAAAAACAGCAUUAGUCAUUGGUUUACGCAAUGUAAUUCUCUAAGGUUCUAAAAAAAUUUGGAAAACGAGUGUAAUAUCAAGAGAACAUUUGAGAUAUUGUUGAUAGAACAAUGACAUAUGGUAACAAAAGAUUUUUUCUCUCUUUGAAAAAAACAACUUGUACAAGUGUGUGUAAAUUAUGAACAAAUCAUUCAUAGAACUUAGUCUUGGUAAAUCACACACAAAAGAUAAAGAACUAGCUCAUUCUCUCAAGAUCAUUUAAAAGAAAUAAGAUCACUUCAACUGAUCAUUUUAUUGGACUAAGAUGUAUUUGUGUUCAGGGGGAUGUAAAUGUGGUGUUUUUAUGAGCAAAAUUUCAUGGAGUGCGUCUCUCGUCUCUUCACUUGGAGAUGUAAGCUUUAAUAUGGGUUAUGAAGAGCAUACUCGCAAGAACAAUAAAUUGUAAUGUUUUCAAAAUAUAAUGUGCAGAGUUAGUCUCGAUAGUGCAAUAUCCUGAGAAUUAGCUCGCUUUCCCCAUUCUUCUUGAUGAGGUUAGACGUGGAUUAGUCAUUAAUCAAAGUGGAUAGGGUGGUCCUAGCGAUUACACGGGGAGUAAUCGGACUUAGACAGAGAUUUUUUAAACAGGGAUUUAGAUUAACAAUUUUCUAUUAUUAAAUGUUUUCUCAAUUUGUAUUUUUUUUUUUUAAAAUUGUUUAACCAACUAUAAAUUCUACUGUAUAACAUAAUAACCAAAACUCUUAGUACAAUAUAAGAAGCGUUACAACUUAUAAGAUGGGUUAAAAACCUUAAAAUCUGAAUCGAUAUAAACAUACCAAAUAACUAUUGUCUCUAUGGUGGAACUUCUCCUUGGCCUCCACGUUGUGAAAGACUUGGGUUUAUACUACCCUUGAUCUCGAACAUGUUUUGAUCCCAAACCAAUUCUACGAUUUUAGAGUAGCUAGUGAUUAUCAUGUCACAUAUUUUGUUGGUUGUUUUGUUCAAGAAUAUAUUUGUGGCCAGUUGCCUUCUCUUAUUUAUGCACGCUAGAUGCAUAUACUUUUAUGGCUCAUCGUUUUUACUUAAUGAUGUUUUUUUUUUAAUUGUAAUACAAGAUUCAGAUUUCUCUUCAUAAGUUCUCGGUAUUUUAAUAACCAAAUCUCUUGAUACAAUAUAAGAAGCGUUACAACUUAUAAGAUGGGUUAAAAACCUUAAAAUCUGAAUCGAUAUCAACAUACCAAUUAACUAUUGUCUCUAUGGUGGAACUUCUCCUUUGCCUCCACGUUGUGAAAGACUUUGUUUUACACUAGCCUUGAUCUCGAACUUGUUUUGAUCCCAAACCAUUUCUGUUAUUGAUAGACAAAAUAAGAUGUUAUUUAAAAUACAAAGAGACAAAAAAAGAUGUUAAGUCUGUAUUUAAAUGUAGAGAAAGUGCACUAAUUAGUUUACGUCGUAAAUCUUGAAUUUCAACAAAGAAAACUAAUGAAUUUCGAAAAUUCCGUGUAUACUUUUUUCAAACUUCCCUUUCUAUGUACACGAACACAACUACAAAAUACCAACAGUACUAACACCUUUUUUCAAGGACAGUAAGACGAAAAGAGGAAAAUUGACUUCCUUCGCAUCUCACCUCCGGCGUCUCUCACGGCGUCGGAAUCCCCUCCCUCUCUUGCCCCCAGGCCCUCCCCUCCUCAUGGGGAAGACAAAAAAGAUCAAAAGAAAACCUUCGGGUUCCCAUUCACCGCCGCAAGGUUCCGUCUCUCCAGCGAUGAGCUCUCCGGUCUCGACGGAGGUUAGUCCUUCUUCGGUGCCCGCUUCAGAGUCUCAGUCAUCAAUUCCUAAGUGUAAUGCCUCAGAUCUGGUCCAGAAGACAGUCUCAGCCAUAAAAGUUGCCAAUUCCGCCGUAGCGACAGACCUAGGUUUGUGUAUUUCGGCCGGUUCAGAAGCUAAAUCGAAUACUAUAGAGAAUCUUUCGAAGAAUGCCUCAGCUCCAGUCAUCGAGACAAGCUCAGCCAUAGUUGAAUCUCUAGCACCUGGCUCGUCAGACCUAGGCGCAGGAAUAGUCGAACCCGAAAUAACUCCAUCAGUCUCCGAUCCGAUAGUUUCUCCCGUUGAAGCGAUUGUUUCUGUAUCUAACUCUGAGGCCGCGACGACUUCGACCCCAGCAGCUCCAACGAUUUCAACUCCUACCCCGAGCAAUGAGUGGGUUGGUCUCUUCAAAGGUUCUACCAGAAAGUUGUCUAAGAAAGGUGUCCCCUUUACUCUGCCGAACGGUGAAGUUUGUGUUAAAAUACCAAACUCUGUUAUUGAGAAGCAUCAGAAGUCAUGGGAGUCGUUCAUCAUUGGGCAAUUCUACGCCGAUCCUCCGCCGCAAGCUCUCGUCCACACGAUCGUGAAUGGGUUCUGGAGCCGGCAAUUCAAAGAUAUCUCGGUCUCAAGGCUGGAAGGAAAUGCGUACCUCUUCCGCAUUCCAAAUGUCCAGACUCGCCGUCGAGUGCUAAAUCAGAGACUGUGGAAAAUCGACGGACAAACCAUGUUUGUUGCUGACUGGGAACCAGGCAUGGCUCCGGUUACGCCAGAGCUAACCAUUGCUCCUAUUUGGUUAGAAUUGCGUAAUGUGCCGCUUCAAUUCUUCAAUGAGGAGGGACUUGAGCACAUUGCAGGUCUGGUUGGGCACCCUGAUUGUCUUCAUCCGGACACAAUAAACAAGUCAAACUUGGAGGUCGCAAAGGUCUUCACUUUCAUUGACCCGCGAAAGCCACUCCCGGAAGGUGUAAAUGUUCAGUUUCAAUCAGGUGAGAUAAGAAGGGUCUCAGUCUCUAGUCCAUGGAUGCCACCAAUCUGCUCUCACUGUAAGGAGGUUGGACACAGUCUAAAGCGAUGUAAGACCGCCCCCUCUACUUGCUCAAAUUGUAGCUCCACAGUUCAUCUUGUAGCUAGCUGCCCUAGAAUUAAAGGAAAUGGGACAAGGCUGCCACAAAAGGCGAGGAGUACAGCUGUGGCGGGAGUCCCAGAGAUUCGGAAUGAAGAGAUCCCUCCAAUUUCCAACCCUCUUCCCGCAACCAUUACUACUCCGAAAGGUUUUUCAUACGUUGCUAAAGGAGCAUCUGCUCCAUCCUCUUCAGCGAUCCCUCCCCAUCAUUCUGUGAUCGCUAGUGAAAAUGCGCGAAACAUUGUCACUUCUUCUAAGGGAAAAGCGAAAGAUUCCCCUGGCUCUGCAAAGUCAACUCCAAAGGUCUCUGAGGCAGAUUCAGACUCUUCUGAUAUCAGUUCUAGUGAGGAGGAGGACCCUGAUUCGCCCUUAGAAGAAGAACACGAGUACUUGGAAGUUGUCUCGAAGAAAAAUCGGAGGAACUCUCGAGGCUUUGGCCUCAAACUUCAUUAAUAUAUGUAUAGUGACAUUUUUUGUUGGAACGUCCGCGGAUUUAAUAAGAGAUCCCAUAGAAGCGGAUUAAAAAAGUGGCUUAGAAGCAGCAGACCAUUUUUUGGAAGUAUUAUAGAGACUCAUGUCAAGCAGCAGAAGAUGAGUAAGUUCAUCAAUGCUAUUUUGCCGGGCUGGUCUUAUUCGGAUAAUUAUAACUAUUCUGACUUAGGAAAAAUUUGGAUCUUUUGGCACGCAAGCGUGAAAGUGACGACUAUAGCUUCUUCACUGCAAAUGAUCACAUGCGCAGUCUUUUUUCCCGACAACCCUACCCAGUUUAUUGUCUCUUGUGUCUAUGCUUCGAAUGACGAGACGGUAAGAAGGCAACUUUGGGAUGAGUUGGCUACGCUGGCUUCAGACUCCAGAGUUCUAGGGGUCCCUUGGGUUGUGCUUGGUGAUUUUAACCAGAUUCUGCAACCUUCUGAGCAUUCCUCCCCUCCCACUCUCAACAUGGACAGGGCCACUAGAGAUUUCAGUGAUGCACUCCAGCAGGCUUCCCUUAGUGACCUCACGUUUAGGGGAUGUUCCUUCACUUGGUGGAACAAGCAAAAAGCAAACCCAGUGGCAAAGAAGCUUGACAGGAUCCUUGUAAAUGAUGAAUGGCAGUCCCAGUUUCCUCUUUCUACAGCUUUUUUUGGUGCUUCUCAAUUCUCAGACAAUUCUCCUAGCUGUCUCAGCCUUUCAUCAGGUCAGCAGAGACAAAAGAAGCCGUUCAAAUUCUACAACUACCUUCUCAAGAACACUGACUUCCUGCCCUUAAUCUGUUAUAACUGGUUCACUAUAAAUGUUGCGGGUUCAGAAAUGUUCCGCCUAUCCUUCAAACUUAAAACGCUAAAGAAGAUCAUAAAGGACUUCAGCAGAGUUAACUACUCUGAUUUGGAGAAAAGGGUGGUGGAAGCUAGUGAGGUCCUAUCGGAUAUUCAGUGCAAGCUUUUAUUAGAUCCUUCAGCUGCUAAUGCCACCUUAGAGUUGGAAGCUACUAGAAAGUGGGCAAUUUUAGCUGAAGCGGAAGAGUCUUUCUUUUGCCAGAGAUCUAGUAUCACUUGGCUAAGUGAGGGUGACAAGAACUCCUCCUACUUUCAUAAGAUGGCAUCAGCAAGACAAGCCUCCAACCACAUCCACUUUCUGGUUGAUGAAGGGGGAAAUCAUAUAGAGAGUCAGCAAGGAAUCCAUAAGCAUUGUAUUACUUUCUUCAAAGAGUUACUGGGAAGCGAAGAGCCCGCUCCUUUAUUCGACCAUGACGAUAUAAGUUCUCUCCUUAACUUCUCUUGCUCUGCAGCUCAGAGAGACCAGAUUAAUGCUCCCUUCUCCAUUGAAGAUAUAAAAGUGGCUUUCUUCUCUCUCCCCAAGAACAAGACGAGUGGACCUGAUGGUUUUUCAGCAGAAUUUUUCACUUCUUGCUGGUCUUGUAUUGGUCCGGAAGUGUGCGCUGCAGUUGCUGAGUUCUUCUCCUCUGGGCAGAUUCUCAAGCAAUGGAAUGCUACUUCUCUUGUCCUUAUCCCUAAGUCUCAAAAUGCUUCUAGAGUGGUUGAUUUCCGCCCUAUCUCUUGCUUAAACACGGUGCACAAGGUCAUCUCAAAGCUUCUUGCUUCUCGUCUGCAAGUUCUCUUACCGUCAGUCAUUUCCCUGGAACAGUCUACGUUCCUUUCGGGCAGGUUAUUAUCAGAAAACGUUUUGUUGGCCACAGAAAUAGUGCAAGGUUAUAACAGAGCAAACAUCACCCCAAGAGCAAUGCUUAAGAUCGAUCUCAGGAAAGCUUUUGACUCGGUAAGAUGGGACUUUGUUCUGUCUUCUCUGAAAGCUCUGAACUUACCGGGCAGAUUCAUCGGCUGGAUUAAAGAAUGCAUGUGUACUCCCACUUUCUCCAUUUCAUUGAACGGGAAAUCUGAUGGUUUCUUCAAAAGUACCAGAGGGCUCAGACAAGGGGAUCCUCUCUCACCUUAUCUCUUCGUCCUGGUCAUGGAUUCUUUCUCUAAGCUGUUGAAAUCCAGAUUUGACUCCGGUUAUAUCUCGUAUCAUCCAAGGACUUCAGAGGUGCAAAUAUCCCACCUGAUGUUUGCUGACGAUGUGAUGAUAUUUUUUGAUGGAAGCAGCUCUUCCCUCCACGGUAUUUAUGAAACCCUUGAGGAUUUUGCUGGCUGGUCUGGGCUGCAUAUGAACAGGGAGAAAACUUUGCUCUUUCACGCAGGUCUGUCCCUUACUGAGACGACAACCAUCAGCAACUAUGGUUUUCCUGCUGGAAAUCUUCCUGUGAGGUACCUUGGUCUCCCUCUUAUGUGCCGGAAGCUAAGGAUUCAUGAAUACUCUCCCCUUAUUGUCAAGAUCUCUAAUAAGUUCAGAGCUUGGACAGUUAAAUCUCUCUCUUUUGCGGGUAGGCGGCAGCUUAUUUCUUCUGUCAUCUACGGAACAGUGAACUUCUGGAUGUCUACUUUCUUACUGCCUAAAGGUUGCAUCAGAAAAAUCGAAUCGCUUUGCUCAAACUUUUUGUGGUCAGGAACAACGGAUAAUCAUUCCAAAGCAAAGGUUGCGUGGUCUACGGUUUGUCUCCCUAAAUGGGAAGGAGGUUUGGGUCUCAGGAAGCUUUCAGUUUGGAACACAACUCUAUGCUUGAAGUUAAUCUGGUCUCUCUUUUCAAAAAGCGGCUCUCUGUGGGUUGCAUGGCAGAACCAUCACCACAAAUUGGACCGAGUGAGUUUCUGGGCAAUGACAGCAAAAUCAGCAGAUUCUUGGAUUUGGGGAAGGUUGCUAAAGUUAAGAAGCCUAGCCGAGAAGUUCAUAAGGUGUAAUAUUGGAAACGGGUCGCUGGCCUGGUUCUGGUUUGAUCACUGGACAACCUUAGGACCGCUGAUAAAGCUCCUAGGAGAUACUGGUCCUACAGCCCUAAGAAUCCCUCUUCACGCAAAAGUUUCUAGUGCUUUUAAUAAUGACGGUUGGCUUCUGCCUCCGCCCCGUUCUGACCAGGCCUACGACCUUCAAGUUCACCUCUCCACGGUCUCACUUCCCAAAGCCACAGAUGAUGAGGAUACCUACUAUUGGUUUGUAGACGAUAAGGCCUGUGUUGACUACAAUGCAGCUAAAUUGUGGGAGGCUCUUAGACCAAGGAGCUCUGUGAAAAGCUGGGCGAAGUUAGUUUGGUUUAAAGGCUCUACUCCGAGCCACGCUUUCAAUAUGUGGAUUGCAAAUCUCGACAGGUUGCCAACUAUGUCAAAACUAGCAUCUUGGGGUUUGCAAGUGUCCACAAUAUGCUGCCUCUGUUCCGCUUCUGUUGAAAGUAGGCUCCAUUUGUUCAUUGAAUGCCCUUACACCAAGAUGGUAUGGUCUCUCAUUUUCUCCAAGCUUCAAAUCUCAAAUCCCAACUUUGUUGACUGGAAUGAAAUGAUGGAUUGGGUAAAGGAGGGAAAUGCAAGUUCUCCCCAUACUCUGCGUCUUUUGAUUAUCCACACGUUGGUUUACACGGUCUGGCGUCAGCGCAACAACUUGGUUCAUAAUCAGAUUAGACUUCCGCCGCUUACCAUCUUCAAAGAUAUUGACCGGCUCAUUAGAAACUCACUCACAGCUAGGAAGCGUAUGAAGAAGUUCAAGAAAUUAAUGUCGGUUUGGCUACGAUGACAUUCUGGAAGAUCCAAAUUUAUCCUUUGAUUAGUAGUUUGUUUAAUUGUUCCUUGGUUUUCCACUUUUUUUGACAAGGACCAAUCUCGUAGGUUUUGUUUCACUGUAACACCUACCUUUCAUUUCUAAAUGAUAUUUACAAUUUAGCAAAAAAAAAACAGUACUAACAGAAUAAUAUAUUUUGACAAAUUCAAGAGUCAAAAUAAUAUAAUUUGACAAAUUCAAGAGUCAAAAAAUUAUUUUGUUAGUAAUAGCGAUCAUAUAUAUUUCCUUUUUAAGACAUUUUCUGUCGUCCUUCCGUAUAAUGUUUUCAAACUUUAUAGUUCAUCAUAUCACAUUCAAUUGUUUAUUAUGUAACUCAAAAAUUAGAGAAAUGACUUGGUCAAAUGAUUAGCGAUUCAUAAAACAGCUUUCUCUCUAGCUAUGACAGUUAUACUUUGACAAACCUCGUUAUCCCACAGUGGUCAAGUUUUGUUAAUCCAAAACAUAUCAACAUGAAAAAAAAACUCAAAAAACUUUCUCUUCAACUAAAUGUUUCAGAUUGAUUUAACCUCAAACAAUGAAUAAAUAAUAUUUGUCAAACAAAUAUGAUAUUUUGAUUAGAAUUACAUAUAUAUAUAUAGAGGUCUGGGGUUUGAACCCCAGAUAGCGCGAUUUAUUAAUGUUUCAACAUAUUAAUGGAGAUAAGUAUACAGGAGAUCUCUAGUGAUGCACAAUUAGAGCCGUUCGCCGUGAUUCCAGCUAUUGACGAAGAUGUCCAAGAUCAGCAUGGAGAAGAAGGCGUUCAAGAUCAGCAUGGAGAAGAAGGCGUUCAAAAUCAACAAAGGAGUGUUGUCAAUAGUGAAUCUAAUAGGGUCGGAAGGAAUUACCCAAGGUAGAUUAUCUUUGUAAUAAUUCUCAUAAUUUGCAAUAAUUAAUAAAUCUAAAGACGAUUAAAAAAAACUUACAAGUGGUAAUAUCACACUGUUGAAUGCGUCUUCUUUAAAAAGAUAUUAUGAUGACUCGGUUUUUUUCCAAUAUGAUGACUCGUUUAUAAUUAAGAGAUUUGUAAUUAGACCUAAAAGUAUAUACAAGAUAUUUUUAAGUUAAUAAGAAAUUAUAUUGCACAAUAUAUACAAAUUAGUUUGAUUUUUACAAAAAUUUUGACAGUAUACAUCGUGGUUAUCUACUCAAACUUUUUUUUUGUUGAAAUCUACUCAACGUUACUUCAAUUUUUAUUUUUAGAAAUCUUACUUUAACCCAUUUUAAAUUAUAUAACAUAGCAUAUACUCCCUCUAUUUCACAUUGUUUGAUGUUUUAGAAAAAAAAAUUGUUUCUAAAAGAUUGAUUUUGUAGAUUAAAAAACCAAAACUAUAUUUCUACUUUAAUCUUUUUUCCACAUGUCAGUAAUCUAAUGGUUUAUAUUUUCUCUUUCUAACAAAAAGUAAUUAGAAAUUAAUUCACAAAAAAUUGUUUAAUUUUACCUUAACAUGUAUGAAAAAGCCAAAACAUAAACUUUUUAGAAACAGAGGGAGUACUAAAUAUUAUUUAACAAAAAAAAAAACAUAUACUAAAUAUUUAUAGCAAAGUAAUGGUAACAAAUAAGCUAAAUUUUUGUUUUCAAUGUUAAUGCAAAGAAAGGGAAAGGAAAGGGACAUGGCAUGCAAAUUAAAGAAAAGAUUUAACGAUGACAGCAAAUCUUUACAAGAUAGGUAGUCUUUAGACCAACAUUAUUGGUAGGAUCUUAGCCAUAAGAUUUACACUAGAGGGUAUCUAAUGUUGGUCUUAGUGUCUGGCUCUGUGGCCUCAAGGACUAGGUGGACCUCUUUGGCCGCUAGGUGAAGCUCCUUGGCCUCCAGGUGGUGAAAUACUUGGGUUUACAGAACCCUUGAUCUCGAAGACUAGGCCAUUUUGAUCCCAAACCUUUUCUGUUAUGUAUAGUUCAACAAAACAAAUCUUUAAAUACAAUUUUUUUAAGUAACCGAACUAAGAGACAAAAGAAGAUAUUUCUCAUAACUAGCUAGAUACUUACUUGUAUUAUGAGAUUUGUGAACGUAUUGUAAUCGAGCGGAGACUGUGUUUGUUGAUGCCACGAACAGGAGAAACAUCAAUGUUAUUAACCGAAUUGCCAUGUACAUCGAUCUUUCUUGGAUCUCAAGAUGUUAAGUAAACUCUUUAAUUAAGUUUUGUAAGAUGUUAAGUCUGUAUUUAAAUGUAGAGGGAGUGCACUAAGGUUACGUCGUUAAUCUUAAAUUUCUGACGAAGAUAACUAUUGAUUUUUAUAUGGAAUUUCAGUAAACACGUAUACGUAAUUUAAUAUAUACUUUCUCGUAGAAAUUUUUACUUGGACUCUUGAAUUGGUCUAACUUUUGUGACGAUGUCUUAUGUAAAAUAUUUUCAAACUUGUAGUUCAAUUGUAACAUUUUUAUUUCAAGUGAUAUGGCGGUAAAUGCGUAAUCUAUAGACUAUAGAAUGAAUAAUCUUUCAGAAAGUGAUUGCUAGUAUUAUACCAAAAAAAAAAAAAAAAACAAAACCUGAAAUAUUAUAUGGUGACUUAUAGAUUCGAUAAAAGAGUUUUUAUAAAUUCUUUAACGUAACUAUAUCGAUUGUUGGAUAAAAACGGACUCCACAAUCCGAGAAAUUUGCCCGACUCGUUUAAUAAUAUAUAGCAAUUUUGGACAUUAAAAUAUAAAAAAUAUUGUUAAUGUAAUAAGAAAUUGGAAUGUAUCCUCUUAUAUAUUGAAAGAGAAGUACAAUUUGACAUUGCAAAAUUAUGGUUAAAAUUUCCCAAAUUACCUAUCAAUUAUUGAAAAAGAGAACUUUUAUUGAAAUUAAGAGGGAUAAUUUAAGUAAAGUUGUUAAAUCAGUUUGAAAAUCUGACCCGAUCCGUAGGGGAUCCGCGCGCAUACAAUCAACACAAGAGAAAGUAGAAAGAGAAGAAGAAGAAGAAGAGUCGAUGAAGAAGAAGAUUUCGAUCAACAAGGUCAAAGAGAAAGUCGAAAGAGAAGAAGAAGAAUCGAUGGAGAGGAAGAACAAAAAAGCCCAAUUUCGAAUUUAGGGUUUUAAUGAUUAUAAUUCGGGUUCAAAAACUCAAAUCGGGUUUAGUCAAUCGUGGAACAGUAAACGCGAAAUUAAGAUUUUAAAACGUAAAUUAAGGAUAUUUAACAGCUUAAUCGAUUUUGGUUAAUUAAGUGGAAUUAUGUAGUUUAGGUGGAAUUGGGAAGCAAAAAAAAUUGUUCAUGUGGAAUUGGGUAGAGUGCUAAAAUAUAGGUGGAUCCAUAUAUAGGCAGCCCUAAAAAAACUAUAAUUAAAAUUAAGUAAAUUAAAUAAUACUUUUUCCUUUUUUUAGUAUCUCUCACGAGUGGGGGUGGUUUUACCAAGCUAAAUUUGUGGGUCCAAGUCCCAUCAUUUUGCCUUGGUCCAUUUUCUAUCGUUUACCUUCAUUCUUGCAUUUAUUGCUUUUGAAAUUUUCAAAAAAUUUUGCAUGAGUGUGGGGUUGUGCAUGCUCUUGCAUGUUCUUCUUCUCUCCCCUCUUCUCUUUCACCCUCCUCUCCAAUAUAAAGUGCGUCUAGUCAUUAAUUACUAGCCCUUUAUUUUGCAAAGAGUGUCAUUUUGGAUUUUCAAUACAUUUUUAACACUAAAUUUUCUUAAUUUUAUCUUUAAACUAAAAUUAAUUAAUCUAUUAAAUACAUAUUAAAUAAGGACAUAUAUAUAAUUAAUAUUUUCUUAAAAUAAUUAAUUAAGAAGAGAGAGAAAGUAAUAAGUGGUGAGACGAGUUCUUUAAAGAUGACUUGAAGAUUAUUGGUCUGUUUUUUCAUUAUUUAAAAUUUAAAUUUAAAAAUAAAUUUGUAUUGAAAAAUAUUAUUAUUUUUAUACGCGUUUGUAACAAUAUAAUGGCAAGGCCAUCUUUAUCGCUACAUCUUUAGGGGCCUUAACCCAAUUAAAAAGGCCAAAAUAAACAAACAGUGAAAUUACGAGGGGUAUUCAUGUUUUAUUUAGGACUUUUUAAGAGAGGGUUCCUCUGCCAGGUGUUAAUACGUGAGUGGCUGCGUAAAUUGUAAACGAAAAAAAUAAUCUUUUGAUGGUGGCUCUCUGCAGUCCCCGUUUGAUUCUUCUGGUGAUUUGGAAUAUGAUGAUGAUGACAUGAUGGAGUACGACGAAGAAGAAGGUGAUAGGGAGGCAAGCGACGUGUCUAGCUGCGAAGAGGGCCAAGAAUGGGACGUUGAUAGUUUCGACGAUGGAUUCGAUUACAGACCCAAACGGAAUCUGGAUCCCAACGAUGAGAUAGGUCAAAAGAUGGAUCGAUAUAGAUCUCAGAUGUACCGUAGCAAGGUCUUUACUCUUCCUGCUUUAACUUUUUUUUAUAAUGUCUCUUUAUCAAUUUCAUUCUUUAAGGACUGAUUUGUUUUAGUUUGAGAUUUGGAUGAAAACAUUGGUCUUGUGAUAGUAACAAUGUUGUCUUCCUCACCAGGGUUUCCAUGUGGAUCGAGAAAACUACCCUGGGAGUGUGAUGUACCGACCACUCGUUCCCAUUGAUCUUGAUAAACCAUUUUGGAACGCUGGACUUACAGGCCGUUCGGUCAUGCAGAACAUGGUGGAUCUGGCUCUAGAAAGAUACAACAGAAUCAAGGUUAGUUGGUUUAUUAGUACCUCUCAUCUUCUUUAGACUUUAUUGUACAUGAUUACAAUGCAAAGAAUUAAUCAGAAACUGGGAUACAAAGUAGUGAAAAAGAAAUUAUUGAGAGAUAGAGACCGGAGAUUGACCGAGAUUGACCGAGAUCGACGGUCGAGAAGAUUGCUCAAGAAUAUGGAAAUUAUGUAGAUUUGAAAGAAUCUAGAUCCUCUUAUUUAGGAUAUUUACAUUUAUGUAGAAAUGUAUUAUUUAUAUUAGUCAUUAUCUCAGUCUAGAAAAUUAGGUUUACUCCUAUCACUAUAUAUAUCGAUGUAUUAUGUAGCAUUAUAUUUAUGAGAGUCUAAUAUAAUUCUUCCUCUAAACACUUUUGUGUUCUUUACUCUCAUCAAUUGAUCAGAAAUUGAUUAUUGUUUGGCCAAAAUAUCUACUGCUUUGUUGUUUGAUUGUUUUUUUUCAUUUUUUUUGUCAUCAACUUUGUUGUUUGAUCUUGGUGUCCAACAAAAUUUGACUGAUUCAAAUUUUUGUUUCCAAUGUAUGGUUUCUUGAAUCCAAUUGUAAUAAGAAAAGUUGUGAUUCCUUUGAUGUAGCAUGUCAAUGGCUUGUUUAGUCCUUCCAAUAUUACUCGCUGAUGUGCUUGAUUUCAAGUUUUCGUUUUGGAAGCAUGUUACGAUCUUAUAUAUAUAUGUUUCUUAAUUACAUGAUAUCACUAAAUCACAAGAGACACAUCUCUUCUUAAAGAAUCUUGAAAUCAAUAACAUAGAGAUUUCAAUAAUUAAUUUAAACAUCAUUGAAAGACUAUAUUAGAAAAAUAAUAAUGUGAAAUUCAAAGGAUCAUUUGCUGUCUUUCACAUUCACAUAUCAUCCCUGAAAGUAAGAUUACAUUGUACAUUGUCGUACCAUAAAUUCCCCCUAGAAAUCUUUAAAAAAUACUAAAGCAAAACCCUUUCUUAAGAAUCAAAAAAAUCAACAAAAGCUAAAACCUUCUCAUUGAACAAGAAGGUUCUUCUUCCUAGGAUCUCUCACUUCAAUCUCCCAAUGCCUAUCAGGCAAACUACUAUUCUCAGCAAUUCUUCUCCACUUCUCAAUCCUCUUCUCCAUAUUCUUAUUCAAACCACAAUAACCCUUCAACUGAUCUGACAUCUUGUCAUACACUUUCCACCAUUUCUCGUGCACCGAAUCGCUUGCAAACACGCGCCUCGCGCUCAUGUCCCAAUUGCAAUCAUAGUCUCUAUAACAUACCCAUGGCUUCAAUCCCAAGUAAUGCACACCUUCAAGAUUCUCUGGAAGAUCAUGUGUUCUUUGGCUUUUCUCAUCAAAGUACUUCAUUGUGUUCACACGUUUUGGUAGCCUGUGCCACCAUACAAAUAUCUCAUUGAGGAAUCCUUGGUCUCCUCCAUUGUAUGACUCAAUCUUGAACGAUUUCUCCAUUAGAUCUUUAAACAUACAUUCUGAUGGCUCAAGAACCUGAUGCCAAGAAAUUUUUUUUCAAAAUAUUAUAUUCAAGUGAAACUUUAAAUAUUAAACCUAGGUUUUUUAGGCCAAAUGCGUCAACAUAUGUAUGUGACCAUAUCAAUUUAUCGAAAAAUAAAAUAAAAUUUUGACUAGUAUUGGCAGGAUUAUUACCAUGAUUCCUGAGUUGAACAAGACUUUGUCAUUGCCUGAAGCUGAGAGUUGUGGAUAGUAAAAGAGAUGAUCAAGUUUCUUGAGGAUGAUGAAAUCUGCGUCUAUGAACACAAGUUUAUCAUAGUCAGUUACUUGCCACACACGUAAUUUGCUAUAGUUCCACUCAUUGUAAGAGUCCUUUUUCGAAAAAGGGCUGCGGAUUCUAUCGAUCAGCCGGAGAUUCCAUCCCGCAGCGCUUAGACCGAUAAGAGACCUGUUGGUUAUAGUGUGGUCAUGGAGGAGAAUCAUGUCCUUAUGAGAUCCUGAUUGUCUUAUACUUUGCGCUAAGGCUAUUGCUCCACAAACAUAGGCUUCUGAAGAGUGUAGUACUGUCACGUAGGCCACUCGUAAGCGACGAGGUAAGGCUAUGGAUGCCUCGGAUGCAAGUUUGACAUCAGUUUUUGGUCUCCAUGCUUCUUGCCCUGUAAAUGACAAUAGUUUAAAAUUUACAAGUGAGAUAACGAUUAAGGAAUAUUUUGAUAAAUGAAUGAAUGAGAAGAAAGAGUAAAACGAGGAAAAUAUGGUGAACAAGUAGGGUAUAAAGUUGUUAGAGCUAAGCUUUUCAAUUCCCACUUAAUUUAAAAACUGGGUAUGAUAAUUUAUGAAUUAGUAUAGACAUAUAUAUUUUAGGUUCCACAUUGACUAUAUACAAUUGAAAUUUGUUGUAAAAAAUUUAUCAUAAAAAUUUGAGACGUUUCAUACAAUUAUGUUAUCUAGCUAAACAAAAGCGUCAAUGUCAAGUAAUUGAAAACACAAAGAAUUUUAGUUUUAAUAAAAACUUUGACAAAAAAUGUUAGUGGUUUUAUGUGGGACGACACAACUAAUGUUUAUGCUAUUUAAUUUAAAUAUGCAGAAGAAUCAAUGUUAAGAUCACGUCAACAAAACUAUAUAUGCAUACUGUGAUGCACGAUCUAAUUGCACCAACCAUUAACCUUCUAUUACUUUAUAUACCAACUUUUCAUUUAAAAACAAAGUACGUGUUAGCAAUAUAUGAUCUACCAAAACACCUCUCCUAAAGAAACUUCACCAAGAAAAAAAAAAGCAUAUUAUAUAAAAAAAGAGCAUAUUAAUCACAUAAAAUGAUUAAUUAAUAGUGGAAAUUCUAUAAAAAUGUAAAAUGAAGAGAAAAAAAAAAAUACUCUAAACGAUUACUAUCUACGUUUUCUGAAAGAAAUGGUGAGAUAAUAUUUCAAAUAUAUGUUAUGAAAAAUUUAAUAAAAUAAUAUAUUUUACCAAACAUAGAGAGGGGAAAAAAAUAAUAACUUACCAAAUUGAGCAAAUGGUGGAGCAAUGCGACAUGAACCAACAGGCAUGAGAAGCUUCUGCUUCAACCUUGGGAUAUAAGGCUUAUACACCCAGUAAUCAUCAACCCGCCUAACUCGUUCAUCGCACUUAAAGAUCUCAUGCAUAGGUCCACAUGAGCCAAUGAACACAACGUACACCGUUGCAUCAACCCUUCCCAUGGCCAUACCACUCUGAACGGCUAGAUUCGCCACGGCCAAGUUAACCUGAAGCCUGAAAACAUCUCUAACCCCUUUAUUCUCCGACCAUCCAUCACAUGGAACUCUAGCAACAAUAACGUCCACGUCAACAUCAGAACCUUGUAGCUUAGGGAGAGGUAUCUCCGGACAGUUUGAAACUUCUUCAUUGAUCCACUCCGGGUAAAGACUCUUCCAAGUAACAUUCUCCGGUAAAGGAUCUAGCGACACGUGGACGUUCUUUAGUAUCGACGGUCCACGAGCCUCGUAGCUCUCACGCUCUUUCUCUUCGAGGUUAAGGAAGCCGACUUGGAUCUUCUUUCCCGGUAGAUAGUCACGGACGAGUCGGAGCCAUUUCGGGUUUUGGCUUACUUGAGGAGAAGGGAGAUUAAUCCGUAACGUUGAAGAUGGAGAAGUGAUCUUUAAAAGAGGUUUAAAAGGUAAGAUCAAACCAAAAAGUGAUAAUGAGAUUAGUAUUAGAUAGAUCAUGAAUAUUUUCCCUCUAGAAUUAUGAGUUUUUGCACCCAUUUUUUGUUUUUGAUACCUAUAAGUUUGUACACGCAUUUUUAUUUGUAAGGAUAUAAAGAUUUAUAUGCACACUCGUGACUCGUGUGUGUUGAAAAGGCUCAUUUGCAUGGACGCACGUUGGUGUGAAAAGUCAAUAUAUAUGUCUCUCUCUUGUUUAUGGUUGGUGUGAUUAUGUUAAUUGUUAAAUCUCACGCAUGUAAUGGGAGCGUGUGUUAGUGUUAUACUUAGAGAAAGUUUUAUAAGAGAUUCUUGAGUAUUUGUUGGAGACUAGUCCAUUGAGUCUAGAAAACUCUUGAGUAAAAACAUUUUGGUUCACAUAACACAAAAUAGCGAAAGAAGAAAAAUAUAUGAUGAUUUGCUUUUGAAGGACAUGCUUUAUUAAGAAAAGUAUCAUAUUAUGCAUGUUUACGUUUUAUCUUGAAAUGGGAAUGAUCUACUAUGUAUAAUUGACCAAUCCUUGCUACAAUUCAAAAUCAUAUCCAUUUCAUUAUGUUUUAGUUAUCAUAUAAUUUUAAAAUUUAUUGGUGAAAUCAGCAAAAUUUGUAUUACAAAUUAAGUAGGAAAUCAAAAACAAAAUUUUGAAACAUUAUACAGAUAUUAUGUAUAUAUUUAAUUGGAAAUUAGUAUAUAAAAAUAAUAUUUAUGAAUUAUAGUAAAAGAAGUCAAAAUGGAGAAAAUGACACACAUAUAUCUUGCCACUUAAAUAUUGAACCUGAUUUUUGAGUUUUGUGGAUUUCCUAAGUAAUAUAUAUAUAUAUAUAUAUAUAUCUUUAACUUUUCUCUCUUCUCCUUCCGCCACAUCAUCCGCCAUAUCAUCUGCCACAUCAUAAUUUUUUAUUAAAAGUUUUUACAUUUGUUUAAAAUUACAACAUCCUACUUUUUGACUUUUAACACUCUAUGUCAUUUUUACCUCUCUUCAACAUCAUAAUUUAACUUUAUUUUAUUUUUAUAGUCAAUAGUGGUUUUAAGAAAAUAAGUACUAUAGUAAGAAAAAUCUAGGUCCAAAUUAAAUAAAAAGGGGAAAUUUCAAAAUUACCCCUUUUUAAAUACUACUUAUUAAAAAUACUCAUUUUUCAAAAUUUAUCAAAAAGUACUAUCUAUCUAUAAAGUAUUGAAAAUGAUGAAUUUUCAUAUAAAUUAUUGAUUUAUAUUAUAUGUAUAUAUAUAAUAAUUCAUUAAGAAAUAAUUAAGUUUAAAUAAUUAGGGCGAAAAAAUCAUAAAUCUUAAUUGCCACUUAAAACUUAACACAUGACAAAGAAUAGUCCACUCAAUCAAAAUUCACGCUGUUGUAAUUUAUCAACAUCAAAGAAUAUUUAUGUAUAUAAUAAUUCAUUAAGAAAUAGUUGAGUUAAAUAAUUAGGGCGAAAAAUAUCAUAAAUCUUAAUGGCCACUUAAAACUUAACACAUGGCAAAGAAUACUCCACUCAAUCAAAAUUCAUGGUAUUGUAAUUUAUCAACAUCAAAUUUGCCACAUCCUUAACAAUAUUUUUACAACAAUCAUUGCACUCUUUUCAACUCUUGAAUAUUUUUUUACAUCAAGCUCAUUGUAAAUAGUCUUAUUAACUCAGCAUAUUUCAUUUCAUUUCAAUUAAAUGGUUCGACAUUCAAUUCAAAUUGUAUUCAAUAUAAUUAAAAAGCUUACAAUAAUUUUCUGAUUUAUGGGUCUAAAACAAAAUAAGGACAUUUAUUCUAUACAGAUAGACAUACUACUAAAUUGAUGUCAUCCGAAGCCACCUCAAGUGAGAACAAAACUGAUUUAAGGCACAAGAAAAAAAAACCUAAAACACAAAAUCAAAAUACUAGGGAAAACACAUCAGUGGUCUCGCCGACCAAAAAAAACGGCGUACUCAAAAUAAUAACUUGGGCUACAAGAAUUGAAACCUUAUGAAAUAUAAGGUUCUAACACCUACUAUUGGGAAUAAAUCAAAAUUUAAACAAACAACAAAAAAAUUUUAAAUAAUAAACUAAUAUAAAAUUCAAAAAGAAAAAAUCAUACGAAAAAAUAACAAAAAUGAAAACAGUAACAAAACAAAAAAAAAAUGAAAUAACAAAAUAUAACAAGACGAAAAUUAUAAACCUCCCGCGCGCAGAGCGGGUCAAAAAUUAUAUAAAGUUAACUUUCUUUCUUCUCAUUCCGCCACAUUAUCUGCCACAUUAUCCGCCACAUCAUCAUUUAUCUUUUUUCUUCUAAAUAUAUAAAUAUCAUUAAAAAUAAAAUUUAAGGUUCUACAAAAAAAUCUAUAAACGAGUUGCCUUGGCUAAAAAGAAUAAAAACAAGGUUACAAUAUAAUUAAACAAGAUUUGGGUUAAUAAAUGCAUAAAAGCAUGAGUUUGCGGCAACACUUCCUUAAUCUUCUUGCGAUAUGAUACUACGAAUUAUGCGGUCGAUCAACUUGAAGAUUACUUGAGGAGACAAACUCUCGGAGUUAUGCAAAACGUUGUUGCGCUGCCGCCAAAUGUUGUAGAAUAUCGCUGGAGAUGUUAGCUUCUGAAGGGAGUAGGGGCUUUCGGAGAAGUGAGUUGAGUCCAAGAGAGCAGCUCCGACCACGAGGCGAAGAGUCGCUGUCAAGGGCAGAGCUAGAAAAGACCAACAUCCAAACCUGGGAAGAAUAAUCAUAAGCUAGGAAGAGAUGGUCCCGAGAUUGUGAAACAAACGAAUAUAGACAAUAGUUUGAUGACGUUUACGAAAAAAAAAAACUACAGCUUGAUGACUGAAUCUGUUCCCAAGAAACAAGACUUUGCCGCAUACGCAAUCUAUCAAGGUGGAACACUCUGUGGUUCCAAGCGGUAGUUAGGAUCACGAGAAAGGGAGCCGCUAGCAAGAAUACUAUAAGCAUCAACAACUUUAACAUUCAGCAGGAUGCGCAAAGAUCUAGCACCAUAGUCUCUCAGCCUCGUGAGUAGAGGACGAAUACCAGCCCAAUAAUCUUAUUUACUCAGCCCAAUUGUAUAUAAUCCAAUAAAAAGGCGAACAAUAAUUUUCUGACGUAUGGGCCUAAAUACAAAACAGAGGCAUAUAUGUUAUGCAAUAGAUAUACAAGUAAAGUAAUCUAUAACGCUCCAGCUGUAACUUCUCUAGUGGGCCCCAAGUUUACUCUCAACCCAUGGAUCCACCUCCCUUAAUGGGCUUCAUGUUCUCUCACUAUGCCAGUGAGCCCAUCCAUAUCCGACGGUUGGUCUGCUACGUCCUAGUGGCUUAAUGACUUUUUACCGACCCUAUAAAUCACCACAUGAUCGUUCUCUGUGUUUUGGCCUCACUCACACAGUACCACUUCCCGGAAAGUCACCCAUCAUUUGACUACUCCAGCAUAAGCACGUUUAACUCUAGAGUUCUUUCAGGACCCUUGAACGAAAAGAUAAGUGCACUUUAGUGACACAUGUGUCCAAAUCAAUUAAUUUAAACCUCUUAGAAAACUGGGGUCUCACAAUUCUCCCCCAUGAACAGGCCGCAACGUCCUCGUUGCUCACCAAGACCGUCACCCCAUGACAGUGUGAGCUCACUACACUACACUUUUCUGGGUUCGGCUAUGAUACCAGUUGUAACGCCCUGACCGUCACCACUCUUGUAGGCCAUGUUCACUCUCAACCCAUGGGUCCACCUCUCUUAAUGGGCCUCAUGUCAUCUCAUUAGGCCCAUGAGCCCAUCAAUUUCUGAGGGCCGGUCUGCUACGUCCGGGAGGUUUUAAACACUUUUUUAUCGAUUCUACAAAUCACCAAAUGAACUUUCUAUGUGUGUUGGCCUCAGUCACACAGUUCCGUCAUUUACUUACCGGAGAUCACCCGUCCUUUGACUACUCCAGCAUAAGCACGCUUAACUCCGAAGUCCCCUCAGGACCCUUGACCAAAACAUAAGUGCACUUUGGUGACAUAAGUGACCAAAUCAAUUCAUUUCAACAUCUCUGCAAACCGGAGUCUCACAUAAUCUCAUUAGUAUCCUUUCUCUCCUUUGUUCUCAAGCAUUUUAAUAAAAUCAUUUGAUUUUACUGCUUUCGAAGCAAUUGUCGUCGUCAACGCGACAAUGAUUACAACAUACACGGAAACAAGGAGUCCAAUCAUUGUCUUGUUCUCCAGCUUUUGUUGUGACCUCAACAAUUAAGGGAGGGACAGGGCCACCACAUUUGAUUUUACAGCUUUCGAAGCAAUUGCUAUCGUUAUCGCAGCAAGGACUAGAACAUAGACGGGUACAAAGAAUCCAACCAUUUUCUUCUUGUGCAGCUUCUAUUAUGACCACAACAGUCACCACCAUCAUUAUCAAUAUGAUCGCAAACCACUUUGCCAUUGUCUUUUCUACCUUCUUAGAUCUUUUAUCUUUUUUUUUAUUUUGAGAAUGGUAUAUUAUUUUUCAUGAAACCAAACUCUAAUUUAAUAGGUGAUUGGAUACAUUCAUCUCUAUGAUUUUCUUUUUGCUUAAUUUUAAGUAGGUUAUAUUCUUAGGUUGACCAUGCUUUGUUUUUGUGAUUUGUUACUUUAUUCUCAUGAUUCAUUGCUAUAUUAAUAAGACAUGAUUUGACAGUUUUUCCAAUCCCAUAUUAUAUACAAAGGACACAAUUUGUUUGAUAUGGAAGGCAUCAAUUUCGCAUAGAAACUUUCAAAACAUUUCUCAGGAAUAUCCUUUUAAUAUGCAUACUCGAUAGAAAAUCUCGUUCACUACUACAAUAUAAUAAUAAUAGAUGUGUAAAUGGUAAAUCUACUCUUGGAGAACAAGAGAGUAUAAAGUUUAUU